AAUUAGUCGGUCAUUUUCAUUGACGGGAAAAGCAUGGCUCUCAAAUAUUUUAUCUCUCAAUUUUAGCUUUGAGCUUUGGCACCUCUACAAAUCUUUACUUCCCUCUGCGAAGGGCCUAUCUAUUUACUUUAUGGAAUUUUUUAUUUUUAUUUUUGAGUCCCCAUCUUCUCUUAUAAAGCACCAACUAGGAAGCACCAUGAUCGUACUUGAGCAUUGGAUGUAGCUAAUACUCGAGUGUGUUUCAUGAAUGGAUCAAUGAUUGAGCAUGAUGGGCUAGGGAUAAUUUUCUUUAGUGUUGAUAUUUUGAAAGGCAUGGCUGCUUGUUGAUAUGCUUGAGUAUUGAAGCCUUCAUGUCAAAACUAGACUAUUGCUUGGAACCAUCUAAAAGUCCAAAUGUCCAUGCUACAAAAGAAAAGAAUAUGUGAUGAACAUGUUAGACAACAUUCCACAUCAAAAAUUCUGUUUUUAUCAUUUACCCACGCGAGGACGGGCGAGAAUUAAGCUUGGGGCUGCUGAUGCGUCUCCAACGUAUCUAUAAUCUUUUAUUGUUCCAUCUUGUUAUAUUAUCAUUCUUGGAUGUUUUACAAUCAUACUAUAGCAACUUUAUAUCAUUUUUUGGGACUAACCUAUUGAAUUGUGCCCAGUGCUAGUUGCUAUUUUUCACUUGUUUUUUCACUUCACGGAAUAUCGGUACCCAACGGAGUCCAAACGCAGCAAAACUUUUUGGAGAUAUUUUUGGACCACAAGAAAACUUGGGAGCCAAGGAAGCACCUGGGGAAGGUACACCAGGGCGUACCAAAGGCCGCUGGCGCGUCCUGGUGUAUCAUGGGGCCCAUGGAGGUCUCCUCCACUGCCUCUCAACUCUAUAAAUACCCAAAUAUUCCAAAAACCCUAGGGGAUUCGACGAAACACAAUUCCAGUCGCCGCAAGUUCUAGAACCACGAGAUCCAAUCUAACACGAUCAUGGAGGGGUUCAUCAUCCUCAUUGGUGCCUCGCCGAUGAUGCGUGAGUAUUCCACCAUAGACCUACGGGUCCGUAGGCAGUAGCUAGAUGGCUUCUUCUCUCUUUUUGAUUCUCAAUACAAUGGUCUCUUGGAAAUCUAUUUUAUGUAAUGACUUUUUGCAGUGUGCUUGUUGGGAUCCGAUGAAGUUCGAGUUUAUGAUCAAAUCUAUAUCCAUGAAUAUUAUUUGAGUCUUAUUUGAUCUCUUAUAUGCAUGAUUAUUUGUAGGCUCGUAUUUCUUCUUCGAACCUUUGGUUAGUUAGGCCAAAUAGAUCAGUUUUUCUAGCCAUGGGAAGAGGUGGUUUGUGAUGGGUUCGAUCUUACGGUUCCCUCACCCAGUGAUAGCAGAGGUACCGAGGCAUGUACGUAUCGUUUCUAUUAAGGAUAACAAAAUGGGGUAUAUUCCUACAUGAAUAGAUGUUGUCUACAUCAUGUCAUCGUUCUUAUUACAUUACUUUGUUUCUCCAUGAACUUAAUGCACUAGAUGCAUGCUGGGUAGCAGUCGAUGUGUGGAGUAAUAGUACUAGAUGUAGAAUCGUUUUAGUCUACUAAUCUUGGACGUGAUGCUAUGUAUUUAUCAUUGCCUUGAAUAUCGUCAUAAUUAUUUGUUCUUCUAUCCAUUUCCCAAUAGUAAUUUGUUUAUCCACCGUAUGCUAUUUUCUCGAGAGAAGCCACUAGUGAAAUCUACGGCCCCGGGGUCUAUCUUUAUCAUAUUGCUUUCCGAUCUAUCUUUUACCGUAUUUGUUUUAAGUUCUAUUAUUCCAAAAGCCUGAAAAUACCUUGCUGCACUUUUCAUUUGCAUCUUUUAUUUCAUGUUUUAUUCAGAUCUAUUUAUCCAAACUCAUACUAUUUAAUCUAUCUUUUACCGAGGAGGGAUUGACACCCCCUCUUACGUGUUGGGUUGCGAGGAUUUCUUCUUUGUGUGCAGGUACCGUUUAUAGAGUGUUGCUUGGCUCUCCUACUAGUUUGAUAACCUUGGUUUCAUAACAGGGGGAAAUACUUGUCGUAGCUAUGCUGCAUCAUCCCUUCCACCUUGGGGGAAAAACCAACGCAGUUCAAGCCACAUCAAGGUACACUAGGAUCUCGGGGGAAUCAGUCAGAACCUGAGAAAUUGGAGUAGAAAAGAAUUUGGUUAUGUGAAGAAGCAACCGCGAGAGCUCCGUGAUAAGCUGGAUGGGCUGAGAUCUAGCUCUCUCUGUACUGGACCAACACAAGAGGAAAAGAAUAGCAUGCAUAAAGUUUAGAAUAGCAUGCAUAAAGGUCACACCCGGUGUUUUUGUAACAUGUCACUUGCAUUAAUAAAACAUGAAAAUUUAGACCAACAAAAACUUUUGCAUUACUUGGUUUUCUAUUUGGUUUGGAUAUUUGCUUACGGUUUCAAGUGCUCCUGAAAGUCAUAUCAUAGCUUCACGACAUAUACUUCAUCUUCUUGACCCAAGGUUGCUUCCCCUGACCAUGCCAUGUGUAUAGGGCGGAAUGGAAUUUUCUUACAAAAAUAAUUUGGCCCAAAAGGAUUUUUUUAAUUAGGUUUUCCCAAAACCCCUUAAUUGAGGUUUACACAUCAAAUACUUAAUUAAGGGCGGUAAAAAUCUUUCAAAAGAUGUAUUUGACUCCUAUUAGAUAUAGGACACCCAAAAACCACAAAAUAAUAAUUCUAAAUGUUAUUUUGCUAUUUUAUUUAAAGGCUUUUUCUUAAGUCAAAAAAUGGUCUUUAAUAGGUUAAAACUAUUUCAAAGCUUCAAAGAUAUUUGAGAAAAUUUAGGGAAACUCAGUGGACAUAUAUUUUCCAUAUAUAUGAGUUUCAACACAUGGUCAUGUUCAAAAUGUUGGACAGAACACUGCAAAACCAUUUCUGUUCAUUUCAAGAAUUUGAGAUAUUUCUAUAAGAAAUAUUUUCAACUAAAUCCAAGAAAAUUCUAGCAUGUGAUGAUCUUGCAAAUUUUCAUCUCAAUCAAAAUCAUUUUGGUUCACAAAAGUGCCCUAAAACCAUUUCUGUCUAGAACCAAACUUGGACAACUUUACAUUGUCAACUUUUUCUUUUGCUCUCAAACUUUGUGGACAUGCUCUAACCUCUAAAUACUGACACUACACCAGUGGUGCACCAAGGAGAAGAGUUUAGCUUAUCUAGAUAUAAGCAAGUCCAUUUCUGUUGAUUUCUAGGGUUUACAAAAGUUACAUUGGCCACUUUCUCCAUUUAACCUCAAAAUUGGUGGGCACAACUAAUUUGUCCUGCCACUCACUCUUGUUAAACCUCAAAUAAAUAUGAGCUAUCUAGAUAUCUCAGACCACCAUCAAACAUCUUUUGACGGAAACUCAAAAUCCAUGUUUAGGCCCCUUCCACUGACCUCCUUGGGUUGAUAUUUUUACCACAACCCCUCCUAGUCCCCCUCUAGCACAUGUAUGCUUUUCUGCCCGAGGAGCAAUGAUGAAGGGGGAGAACCCCAUUUUUCUUCUCUGGACAGUGGAUUCCUCCCUCUCUCUCUCUCUCAGCCUCCUUCUCUCCCCUCAACUUUCCAGAGCAUCCAAGGCUCCCCAAGACAUUUGCCCACACCUCCUGCAGCCUCCAGACAAAAGUGGAUGCGUGAGGACGCGAGAAAGCCGCGGAUGCAAGCCAAAGUUGCGCUCUGGAGCGCCUGGCAGGGCACCCGACUGUUGACGCCGCGUCCACCGACCGCCUCGAGCCUCCCCCGCACGCCAGUCGACGCCCCUCGACAUCCGAUCCACGCCAGCAGGCCGCCCACUUGCUCAUGUGCCCUCCUUUCUCUCCCGCAGCUCGUGCCAAAGCACCGCCCCGCUCGUCCAAUGCUUGUGCCGCUCCUGUGGCCCGCCAAAGCUCGUCUUGCUCCCCUUCUCUCUCUCCAUGGCACCCUAGACCACCCCACGAACACCCCCGAGCCCGCCUUUCCCUCUCUAACAGCCACCAGAGCCGACCCCGUGGGCAUCUGUAGGCCGCGCCUAUGGUGGACCUUGGCCAGCCCGUAUAAGGCCACCCCGAGCCUUUCUCUCGCUCCCUAUCGCUCCACCCCCACCCCCCCACACACACACUCCCAAUCCACCUCCCGCUCCAAAAAUCUUUCUCCAGUAGAGCCUGAGCUCGAGAUCAAGCUCGAGCUCUGCCACCUUGGGUCACCAGCGUGUCGCCAGCGUCCGAGCGGUAUAGGCCCCCUCCACCCCCGUUCUCUCUUGAUCUGGAACCGCACGACAUCAUUGAACCUUUCCCCUCUCUUCCUUGCUUCUUUUGCAGCCGGAAACACCUGAAACAACCGCUGCCCGAAGCUCCUCCGCCACAUGACCUCGUCGCCGGUGAACCAGGCCACUCCGGCGACCGCCUCCAUCACCACCCGAACGGUGACACGACAUUGAGUCCAGUCGUGCCCUCGCCCGACCUCGCUGUGCCUCUUAUCGCCGUCGAUGAGCUCGUCGGCCUCUCUGUCGCGAGGUUAGAGAUGACAGGUGGAGCCCACCUAUCAUCCUCACCUCUCCCUCACCCCCUCUCUCCCACUGGCAGCAGGCCCCACCUGUUAGGUUUAAAAACCUGGCACGCGCGUGCCGGCUCGUCUGGGCCAUUUCCUUUCUGGGCCUGCUGCGCUGCAGCUAUUCUGGCCCAGUAAGCACAGUGCCCUCUUCCUUUUUCUUUUUUUGUGCAACUUGCAAAAAAUCCAAAGGAUAAAAUGUUGGGGAACGUAGCAGAAAUUCAAAAAUUUCCUACGUGUCACCAAGAUCUAUCUAUAGAGAGACCAGCAACGAGUAGAAAGAGAGUGCAUCUACAUACCCUUGUAGAUCACUAAGCGGAAGCGUUCAAGUGAACGGGGAUGAUGGAGUCGUACUCGUCGUGAUUAAAAUCACCGAUGAUCAAGUGCCGAACGCACGGCACCUCCGCGUUCAACACACGUACAGCCCGGUGACGUCUCCCAAGCCUUGAUCCAGCAAGGAGAGAGGGAGAGGUUGAAGAAGACUCCAUCCAGCAGCAGCACAACGGCGUGGUGGUGGUGGAGGAGCGUGGCAAUCCUGCAGGGCUUCGCCAAGCACCGCGGGAGAGGAGGAGUACUUGUGAGAGGGGGAGGGCUGCGCCAGAACUUCGUGUAUAGCUCCCAUGCGCCUCCCCACUAUAUAUAGGGGUGGAGGGGCUGGUUUCUUGCCCUCCAAGUCCAUUGGGGCGUUGGCCAAGGUGGGAGGAAAGAAAUCUCAUUAUUUCCUUCCCCACCGAUUGUUAUCCCCCCUUUUUAGGGAUCUUGAUCUUAUCCCUUCGGGAUAUGAUCUUAUUCCUUCUAAGGGGGAUCUUGGUGCGCCUUGACCAGGGGUGUGGGGCCUUGCCCCCACUACCCACGUCCAUGUGGGUCCCCCCAUGCAGGUGGGCCCCACUCCGGAACCUUCUAGAACCUUCCCGGUACAAUACCGAAAAAUCCCGAACAUUUUCCGGUGGCCAAAAUAGGACUUCCCAUAUAUAAAUCUUUACCUCCGGACCAUUCCGGAACUCCUCGUGACGUCCGGGAUCUCAUCCGGGACUCCGAACAACAUUCGGUAACCACAUACAAACUUCCUUUAUAACCCUAGCGUCAUCGAACCUUAAGUGUGUAGACCCUACGGGUUCGGGAGACAUGUAGACAUGACCGAGACGUUCUCCGGUCAAUAACCAACAGCGGGAUCUGGAUACCCAUCAUGGCUCCCACAUGUUCCACAAUGAUCUCAUCGGAUGAACCACGAUGUCAAGGACUUAAUCAAUCCCGUAUUCAAUUCCCUUUGUCUAUCCGUAUGUUACUUGCCCGAGAUUCGAUCGUCGGUAUCCAAUACCUUGUUCAAUCUCGUUACCGGCAAGUCACUUUACUCGUUCUGUAACACAUCAUCCCGUGAUCAACUCCUUGGUCACAUUGCGCAUAUGAUGAUGUCCUACCGAGUGGGCCCAGAGAUACCUCUCCGUUUACAUGGAGUGACAAAUCCCGGUCUCGAUCCGCAUAAAACAAUAGAUACUUUCGGAGAUACCUGUAGUGCACCUUUAUAGUCACCCAGUUACGUUGUGACGUUUGAUACACCCAAAGCACUCCUACGGUAUCCAGGAGUUACACGCUCUCAUGGUCGAAGGAAGAGAUACUUGACAUUGGCAAAGCUCUAGCAAAUGAACUACCCGAUCUUUUGUGCUAGUCUUAGGAUUGGGUCUUGUCCAUCACAUCAUUCUCCUAAUGAUGUGAUCCCGUUAUCAACGACAUCCAAUGUCCAUAGCCAGGAAACCAUGACUAUCUGUUGAUCACAACGAGCUAGUCAACUAGAGGCUCACUAGGGACAUAUUGUGGUCUAUGUAUUCACACGUGUAUUACGAUUUCCGGAUAAUACAGUUAUAGCAUGAAUAAAAGACAAUUAUCAUGAACAAGGAAAUAUAAUAAUAAUACUUUUAUUAUUGCCUCUAGGGCAUAUUUCCAACAGUCUCCCACUUGCACUAGAGUCAAUAAUCUAGUUCACAUCGCCAUGUGAUUAACACUCACAGGUCACAUCGCCAUGUGACUAAUACCCAAGAGUUUACUAGAGUCAGUAGUCUAGUUCACAUCACUAUGUGAUUAACACUCAAUGAGUUUUAUGUUUGAUCAUGUUGCUUGUGAGAGAGGUUUUAGUCAACGGGUCCGAACCUUUCAAAUCCGUGUGUGUUUUACAAAUCUCUAUGUCAUCUCCUAGAUGUAGCUACCACGCUCUAUUUGGAGCUAAUCCAAAUAACUGUUCUACUUGGAGCUAUUCUAAAUUGUUGCUCCAUUAUAUGUAUCCGGUAUCUCUACUCAGAGCUAUCCGGAUAGGUGUCAAGCUUGCAUCGACGUAACCCUUUACGACGAACUCUUUUACCACCUCCAUAAUCGAGAAAAAUUCCUUAGUCCACUAAUUUCUAAGGAUAACUUUGACCGCUGUCCUGUGAUCCAUUCUUGGAUCACUCUUGUACCCCUUGACUGACUCAUGGCAAGGCACACUUCAGGUGCGGUACUCAGCAUGGCAUACUGUAGAGCCUACGUCUAAAGUAUAGGGGACGACCUUCGUCCUUUCUCUCUUUUCUUCCGUGGUCGAGCUUUAAGUCCUAACUUCGUACCUUACAACUGAGGCAAGAACUCCUUCUUUGACUGGUCCAUCUUGAACACCUUCAAGAUCAUGUCAAGGUAUGCGCUCAUUUGAAAGUAUUAUUAAGCAUUUUGAUCUAUCCUUAUAGAUCUUGAUGCUCAAUGUUCAAGUAGCUUAAUCCAGGCUUUCCAUUGAAAAACACUUUCAAAAUAACCCUAUAUGCUUUCCAGAAAUUCUACAUCAUUUCUGAUCAACAAUAUGUCAACAACAUAUACUCAUCAGAAAUUCUAUAGUGCUCCCACUCACUUCUUUGGAAAUACAAGUUUCUCAUAAACUUUGUACAAACCCAAAAUCUUUGAUCAUCAUCAAAGCACACAUUCCAACUCCGAGAUGCUCACUCCAGUCCUUAGAAGGAUUGCUGGAGCUUUGCAUACUUAUUAGCAUCUUUUGGGAUUGACAAAACCUUCCGGUUGUAUCACAUACAACCUUUCCUCAUUAAAAUCGUCGAGGAAACAAUGUUUUGACAUCCUAUCUGCAAGAUUUCAUAAAUAAUGCAGUAAUCGCUAAUAUAAUUCCAACAGACUCUUAGCAUCGCUACGAGUGAGAAAGUCUCACCGUAGUCAACUCCUUGAACUUGUCAGAAAACAUCUUAACGACAAGUUGAGCUUUCUUAAUGGUGACAUUUACCAUUAUCGUCCGUCUUCCUUUUAAAAUCCAUAUGUACCUAACAGCCUUACGACCAUCAAGUAGUUCUUCCAAAGUCUACACUUUGUUUUCGUACAUGGAUCCUCUCUCGGAUUUUAUGGCCUUGAGCCAUUUAUCGGAAUCCAGGCCCACCAUCGCUUCUCCAUAGCGUGUAGGUUCAUUGUUGUCUAGCAACAUGACUUCCAAGACAGGAUUACGUACCACUCUGAAGUAGUACGCAUCCUUGUCAUCCUACGAGGUUUGGGAGUGACUUGAUCCGAAGUCUCAUGAUCAAUAUCAUAAGCUUCCACUUCAAUUGGUGUAGGUGACACAGGAACAACUUCCUGUGCCCUGCUACACACUGGUUGAAGUGAUGGUUCAAGGACCUCAUCAAGUCUCCACCAUCCUCCCACUCAACUUUUCGAGACAAACUUUUCCUCGAGAAAGGACCCGAUUCAAGAAACAAUCCCUUAUUGCUUUCGGAUCUGAGACAGGAGGUAUACCCAACUGUUUUGGGUGUCCUAUGAAGAUGCAUUUUAUCCGCUUUGGGUUCGAGCUUAUCAAUCCUGAAACUUUUUCAUAUAAGCGUCGCAGCCCCAAACCUUUAAGAAACAACAACUUAGGUUUCUCUAAACCAUAAUUCAUACGGUGUCAUCUCAACGGAAUUACAUGGUGCCCUAUUUAAAGUGAAUGUGGUUGUCUCUAAUGCCUAACCCAUGAACGAUAGUGGUAAUUCGAUAAGAGACAUCAUGGUAUGCACCAUAUCCAAUAGGGUGCAACUAUGAUGUUCGGACACACCAUCACAUUAUGGUGUUCCAGGCGGUAUUAAUUGCGAAACAAUUUCCACAAUGUCUUAAUUGUGUGCCAAAACUCGUAACUCAGAUAUUCAUCUCUAUGAUCAUAUCAUAGACAUUUUAUCCUCUUGUCACAAUGAUCUGCUACUUCACUCUGAAAUUACUUGAACCAUUCAAUAAUUCAGACUUGUGUCUCAUCAAGUAAAUAUACUCAACAUUUACUCGAAUCAUCUGUGAAGUAAGAACAUAAUGAUAUUCACUGCAUGCCUCGGCACUCAUUCGACUGCACACAUCAAAAUGUGUUACUUCCAACAAGUUGCUAUCUUGUUCCAUCUUACUGAAAAUGAGGCUUUUCAGUCAUCUUGCCCAUGUGGUAUGAUUUGCAUAUCUCAAGUGAUUCAAAAUCAAGUGAGUCUGAACGAUCCAUUUGCAUGGAGUUUCUUCAUGCAUAUCCACCAAUAGACAUGGUUCGCAUGUCUCAAACUUUUCAAAAACGAGUGAGUCCAAAGAUCCAUCAACAUGGAGCUUCUUCAUGCGUUUUAUACCAUUAUGACUUACAUGGCAGUGCCACAAGUAAGUGGUACUAUCAUUACUAUCUUAUAUCUUUUGGCCUGAAAAUGUGUAUCACUACGACCGAGAUUCAAUAAACCAUUCCUUUAGGUGCAAGACCAUUGAAGGUAUUAUUCAAAAAUAGAGUAACCAUUAUUCUCCUUAAAUGAAUAACCGUAUUGCGAUAGACAUAAUCCAAUCAUGUCUAUGCUCAACGCAAACACCAAUCUCGGUGGUAGAGGGAGCGUGCGAUGCUUGAUCAUAUCAACCUUGGAAACACUUCCAACAUAUAUCGUCAGCUCACCUUUAGCUAGUCUCCGUUUAUUCCGUAGCUUUUAUUUCGAGUUACUAACACUUAGCAACCGAACCAGUAUCCAAUACCCUGGUGCUACUAGGAUUACUAGUAAAGUACACAUUAACAUAAUGUAUAUCCAAUAUACUUCUAUCGACCUUGCCAGCCUUCUCAUCUACCAAGUAUCUAGGGUAAUGCUGCUCCAGUGGUUGUUCCCCUUAUUACAGAAGCACUUAGUCUCGGGUUUGGGUUCAACCUUGGGUUUCUUCACUAGAGCAGCAGCUGAAUUACCGUUUCAUGAAGUAUCCCUUUGUUCCCUUGCCCUUCUUGAAACUAGUGGUUUCACCAACCAUCAACAAUUGAUGCUCCUUCUUGAUUUCUACUUUCGCGGUGUCAAACAUCAUGAAUAUUUCAAGGAUCAUCAUAUCUAUCCCUGAUAUGUUAUAGUUAAUCACGAAGCUCUAGCAGCUUGGUGGCAAUGACUUUGGGGAAACAUCACUAUCUCAUCUGGAGGAUCAACUCCCACUCGAUUCAAGUGAUUGUUGUGCUCAGACAAUCUGAGCACAAGCUCAACGAUUGACCUUUUCUCCCUUAGUUUGCAGGCUAAGAAAAUCGUCGGAGGUCUUAUACCUCUUGACGUGGGCACGAGCCUGAAAUCCUAAUUUCAGCCCUCGAAACAUCUCAUAUGUUCCGCGACGUUUCGAAAACGUCUUUGGUGCCUCUACUUAAACCAUUUAAUUGAACUAUCACGUAGUUAUCAAAACGUGUAUGUCCGAUGUUCGCAACAUCGACAAACGACGUUGGGGUUCAGCACACUGAGCGGUGCAUUAAGGACAUAAGCUUUCUACUGAUCGCAUAAUCGCUACUAUCAACUUUCAACUAUAUUUUCUCUAGGAACAUAUCUAAACAGUGGAACUAAAGCGCGAGCUUACGACAUAAUUUGCAAAAGGUCUUUUGACUAUGUUCAGGAUAAUUAAGUUCAUCUUAUGAACUCCCACUUAGAUAGACAUCCCUCUGGUCAUCUAAGUGAUCACAUGAUCCGAGUCAACUAGGCCGUGUCCGAUCAUCACGUGAGACGGACUAGUCAUCAUCGAUGAACAUCUUCAUGUUGAUCGUAUCCACCAUAUGACUCAUGCUCGACCUUUCGGUCUCCGUGUUCCGAGGCCAUGUCUGCACAUGCUAGGCUCGUCAAGUUAACCCUAAGUGUUUUUGCUGUGUAAAACUGUCUUACACCCGUUGUAUGUGAACGUAAGAAUCCAUCACACCCGAUCAUCACGUGGUGCUUAGAAGCGAUGAACUGUAGCAACGGUGCACAGUUAGGGGAGAACACUUCUUGAAAUUUUGUAAGGGAUCAUCUUAUUUACUACCGUCGUCCUAAGCAAACAAGAUGCAUAAACAUGAUAAACAUCACAUGCAAUCAAAUAGUGACAUGAUAUGGUCAAUAUCAUUUUGCUCCUUUUGAUCUUCAUCUUCGGGGCUCCAUGAUCAUCAUCGUCACCGGCACGACACCAUGAUCUCCAUCAUCAUGAUCUCCAUCAUCGUGUCUUCAUGAAGUUGUCACGCCAACGACUACUUCUACUUCUAUGACUAACGCGUUUAGCAAUAAAGUAAAGUAGUUUACAUGGCGUUCUUCAAUGACACGCAGGUCAUACAAUAAAUAAAGACAACUCCUAUGGCUCCUGCCGGUUGUCAUACUCAUCGACAUGCAAGUCGUGAAUCCUAUUACAAGAACAUGAUCAAUCUCAUACAUCACAUAUCAUUCAUCACAUUCUUCUUGGCCAUAUCACAUCACAUAGCAUACCCUGCAAAAACAAGUUAGACGUCCUCUAAUUGUUGUUGCAUGUUUUACGUGGCUGCUAUGAGUUUCUAGCAAGAACGUUUCUUACCUACGCAAGACCACAACGUGAUAUGCCAAUUGAUAUUUACCCUUCAUAAGGACCCUUUUCAUCGAAUCCGUUCCGACUAAAGUGGGAGAGACUGGCACCCGCUAGCCACCUUAUGCACCAAGUGCAUGUCAAUCGGUGGAACCUGUCUCACGUAAGAGUACAUGUAAGGUCGGUCCGGGCCGCUUCAUCCCACAAUACCGUCGAAACAAGAUUGGACUAGUAACGGUAAGCAUAUUGAACAACAUCAACGCCCACAACUACUUUGUGUUCUACUCGUGCAAAGUAUCUACGCAAUAGACCUAGCUCAUGAUGCCAUUGUUGGGGAACGUAGCAGAAAUUCAAAAAUUUCCUACGUGUCACCAAGAUCUAUCUAUAGAGAGACCAGCAAUGAGUAGAAAGAGAGUGCAUCUACAUACCCUUGUAGAUCACUAAGCGGAAGCGUUCAAGUGAGCGGGGAUGAUGGAGUCGUACUCGUCGUGAUUCAAAUCACCGAUGAUCAAGUGCCGAACGCACGGCACCUCCGCGUUCAACACACGUACAGCCCGGUGACGUCUCCCAAGCCUUGAUCCAGCAAGGAGAGAGGGAGAGGUUGAAGAAGACUCCAUCCAGCAGCAGCACAACGGCGUGGUGGUGAUGGAGGAGCGUGGCAAUCCUGCAAGGCUUCGCCAAGCACCGCGGGAGAGGAGGAGUACUUGUGAGAGGGGGAGGGCUGCGCCAGAACUUCGUGUAUAGCUCCCAUGUGCCUCCCCACUAUAUAUAGGGGUGGAGGGGCUGGUUUCUUGCCCUCCAAGUCCAUUGGGGCGUUGGCCAAGGUGGGAGGAAAGAAAUCUCAUUAUUUCCUUCCCCACCGAUUGUUAUCCCCCCUUUUUAGGGAUCUUGAUCUUAUCCCUUCGGGAUAUGAUCUUAUUCCUUCUAAGGGGGGAUCUUGGUGCGCCUUGACCAGGGGUGUGGGGCCUUGCCCCCACUACCCACGUCCAUGUGGGUCCCCCCAUGCAGGUGGGCCCCACUCCGGAACCUUCUAGAACCUUCCCGGUACAAUACCGAAAAAUCCCGAACAUUUUCCGGUGGCCAAAAUAGGACUUCCCAUAUAUAAAUCUUUACCUCCGGACCAUUCCGGAACUCCUCGUGACGUCCGGGAUCUCAUCCGGGACUCCGAACAACAUUCGGUAACCACAUACAAACUUCCUUUAUAACCCUAGCGUCAUCGAACCUUAAGUGUGUAGACCCUACGGGUUCGGGAGACAUGUAGACAUGACCGAGACGUUCUCCGGUCAAUAACCAACAGCGGGAUCUGGAUACCCAUCAUGGCUCCCACAUGUUCCACGAUGAUCUCAUCGGAUGAACCACGAUGUCAAGGACUUAAUCAAUCCCGUAUUCAAUUCCCUUUGUCUAUCGGUAUGUUACUUGCCCGAGAUUCGAUCGUCGGUAUCCAAUACCUUGUUCAAUCUCGUUACCGGCAAGUCACUUUACUCGUUCCGUAACACAUCAUCCCGUGAUCAACUCCUUGGUCACAUUGCGCAUAUGAUGAUGUCCUACCGAGUGGGCCCAGAGAUACCUCUCCGUUUACACGGAGUGACAAAUCCCGGUCUCGAUCCGCAUAAAACAAUAGAUACUUUCGGAGAUACCUGUAGUGCACCUUUAUAGUCACCCAGUUACGUUGUGACGUUUGAUACACCCAAAGCACUCCUACGGUAUCCAGGAGUUACACGCUCUCAUGGUCGAAGGAAGAGAUACUUGACAUUGGCAAAGCUCUAGCAAAUGAACUACACGAUCUUUUGUGCUAGUCUUAGGAUUGGGUCUUGUCCAUCACAUCAUUCUCCUAAUGAUGUGAUCCCGUUAUCAACGACAUCCAAUGUCCAUAGCCAGGAAACCAUGACUAUCUGUUGAUCACAACGAGCUAGUCAACUAGAGGCUCACUAGGGACAUAUUGUGGUCUAUGUAUUCACACGUGUAUUACGAUUUCCGGAUAAUACAGUUAUAGCAUGAAUAAAAGACAAUUAUCAUGAACAAGGAAAUAUAAUAAUAAUACUUUUAUUAUUGCCUCUAGGGCAUAUUUCCAACAUAAAAUGUUUAUCCAAAUGCAAAAAUUCCAACUCCUAAAUUCUUCUAAAAACCCCACCUAUUUAAUGAUGUCAUUUUCAUGCAAAUCCAUCACACCUUUCUGUACUGUUCAAAUUUAGAUUCAAAAUUGAGCCUUUAAAUCCAUCUUUAAAAAUCCACUUCUUUGUAUCUAUAGUUCCAAAUCCAAAACUAAGAAUUUUUGCAUUCUUAGUUUUCAUCAUGUUAUUUAACAUAAAUAAGUUGACAUUUUUGUGACCACUUUCAUUGUUCUGUUUUUACUAUUGCCUUAUUUCUCAUUGUUCCUUUGUGACGAAUAGAUCAUGUGUUUGACGAAAUAGUUGGAGAAGAAGAAGGAGAAGGGCUUGAAGACUUCGAAGACCAAGCCAACCAAGGCAAGCAACUCUUUGACCAUGAUUCAGCCCUCUCGUUCAUCGAUAAAUUUUCCAUAUGCAUGAUGACGUUGUUGAAUAUGAGCUUCAUAUAAUCGUUGCAAUGAUGCAUGCUCAUUGGUACUUGCAUGUUUGUAACUCUAUUUUGUGCUAGACAUGCGAUGAAAAAUACUUGAUAUUGACGCAUGAUGGUUGCAUCUAUGCCAUGAUCAUCUCUUGGUUACAAUCCUUUGAAAACCCCAUCGGGUGCCCCUAAUGCCCAUGGGUAUGUUGAACUUGGUCACCACUUGAUGAAUAAGUGGUGCAUUGAAGCAAGUGAAUAUGUGUUGUUUACAUAGACGGAUUAGAUUCAAGAUUUGUUGACCGUACCAACCUUACAUGCGCAACCACUCUACCCUUAUAUGCGAAAGGGCAUUAUUGAUUACCUAGUUCAGGCUAACAUGGAUGCCCGCAUUACUAGUGACGGGAGUGGCGUGGUCACUCUCGGGAUGGGGUCGUGCUAGGUAGGGCGGACAUGACUGUUUUUACAGGGCACUGGACACACCGUUGGAACCCCGUGCUUGUGAUAUGAGAUGAAUUUGGGAGCAUGGCUCCACAAAAAAGAAUUAUUAUGUGACAAUGUUUGGCACGGGGGCUGCUACCAAUCAAGUGGACUCCUUGUUAGUCACGGCUAGGGAAAGGUAGUGAUCAGGUGCUUCCCCCGAGUAAUUGAGGUACUGCAGGAUCGUGGAUGACACGAAAGCUUCCCGGAUCUUGUGGGUAAAGUGUGCAACCUCUGCAGAGUGUCAAACUAUUCGAAUAGCCGUGUCCACGGUUAAGGACAGUUGGGUGGUGCUGCUUAGACUAUGUCCAUACGUUUCUGAAAAACAACACAAAUUUGAAUUGUUUAUGAGAAUCAUGAUAAGUUGGAGAUUGAGUUGUGUGAAACUCAUUCUCAAUGUUGAUAUCUGAAAUCCCUUGAUUCAUGAUCAUAGAUGCAUUAUUAACACCACAAGUAUUGAACAUACUUGUAUGAGAGAAACUAUCUUACUACCAGCAUGCCACCAUAAUGAUAUUAUCAGGCAUAUGUCAAUUUGUUACCAUUCAUGGGUUGCUUGUGAGUACAUUCAAACAUACUCAUUGGCUUGUCCCCUGCUAUUUACUUGGCCAGGCAUGGAAGAGCAGGAAUAUGAGCAAGAAUGUUUCGAUGACUAAUGUCGCUUGAAGCUACGUCGGUACUUCCCCAAAGAGGAAGGGAUGAUGCAGCACAAUAGUGGUAGCUAUUUCCAUCAGAUAUGAAACCAAGGUUCGAACCAGUACGAGAACCAAGCAACACAACGUAAACAGCCCCUGCACACAAAGAACUACACCUCUCAACCCGACGUGUUAAAGGGGUUGUCAAUCCCUUUCGGGGUACGGCGCCUCAAGAUAGGCAAAGGACGUGAGGUAAAUUUGUAGAUGGGAUAAACAGAUCGCGGAACAAAUAAAUUUCAGCAAGGUAUUUUUGUAAUUUUUUAGUUUAAUAGAUCUGAAAAUAAACGCGAGGAAAAAGUAGAUCACAAGGCAAAUAUAUGAGAAAGAAGACCCGGGAGCCAUAGGUUUCACUAGUGGCUUCUCUCGAGAAAAAUAGCAAAUGGUGGGUGAACAAAUUACUGUUGGGAAAUUGAUAGAACUUCAAAUAAUCAUGAAGAUAUCCAGGCAAUGAUCAUUACAUAGGCAUCAUGUCCAAGAUUAGUAGACCGACUCCUGCCUGCAUCUACUACUAUUACUCCACACAUUGACCGCUAUCCAGCAUGCAACUAGUGUAUUAAGUUCAUGGAAAAACAGAGUAAUGCAAUAAGAACGAUGACAUGAUGUUGACAAGAUCCAUUUAUCUAUUGCGGCAGAUAUGGAUCCCAUCUUUUUAUCCUUAGUAGCAAUGAUACAUAUGUGUCGGUUCCCUUUCUGUCACUGGGAUCAAGCACCAUAAGAUCGAACCCACUACCGGGCACCUCUUCCCAUUGCAAGAUAAAUAGAUCAAGUUGGCCAAACAAAACCCAAAUAUCAGAGAAUAAAUACGAGGCUAUAAGAGAUCGCGCAUAUAAGAGAUCAAAGAACUCAAAUAACUUUCAUGGAUAUAAAAAGAUAUAACUGAUCAUAAACUCGAAGUUGAUCGGAUCCCAACAAACACACCGCCAAAAGACUUACAUCAUAUGGAUCUCCAAGAGACCAUUGUAUUAAUAAUCAAGAGAGAGAGGAAGCCAUCUAGCUACUAACUACUGACCCGAAGGUCUGCAAAGAACUAUUCACGCAUCGUCGGAGAGGCACCAAUGGAAGUGGUGAGCACCUCCAUGAUGGUGUCUAGAUUGGAUCUCGUGGUUUUGGACUCUGCGGCGACUAGAUGAAAAUUUUGUCGACUCCCCUAGGGUUUCUGGAAUAUUGGGGUACUUAUAGAGCAAAGAGUCGGUCCAGGGGGCACCCGAGGUGGGCACAACCCACCAGGGCGCGCCUGGGCCUCCUGGCGCACCCUGGUGGGUUGUCCCCUCCUCAGGACUCCCCCCAGGUGCAACCAGGGCCCGUUGUGUUCCUUCUGGCCCAUAAAAAAUCAUCAUAAAUUGGCGUGGCAUUUGGACUCCUUCUGAUAUUGAUUUCCUGUGAUGUAAAAAACAUGCAGAAAACAGCAAUUGGCACUUGGCACUAUGUCAAUAGGUUAGUACCAAAAAUGAUAUAAAAUGACUAUAAAAUGAUUAUAAAACAUCCAAGAUUGAUAAUAAAAUAGCAUAGAAUAAUCUAAAAUUAUAGAUACAUUGGAGCGUAUCAGCAUCCCCAAGCUUAACUCCUGCUCGUCCUCGAGUAGGUAAGUGAUAAAAUAGAAUUUUUGAUGUGGAGUGCUAUUUAUCAUGUCAUAUCAUAUUCUUUUCUUCAUAGCAUGGACAUUUGGACGUUUAUGUGAUUCAAAGCAACAGUCUAGUUUUGACAUAAUAAUUUAGAUACUCAAGCAUACCAACAAGCAACCAUGUCUUUCAAAAUACCAAUGCUAAAACAAGUUAUCCCUAGCCCAUCAUGCUCAAACAUUGAUCCAUUCAUGAAACAAACUCGAAUAUUAGCUACACCCAAUACUUAAGUACGAUCAUAUUGUCCCCUAGUUGGUGCUAUUAUAAGAGAGGAUGGAGAAUCAGUUUCAAAAAUAAAAAUUGCAUAAAGUAAAAGAAAGGCCCUUCGCGGAGGGAAGUAGGGAUUUGUAGACGUGUCAGAGCUCAAAGCGAAAAAUUAGAGAUAAAAACAUUUUGGGAGGUGUAUCCAUCCCACCAACGAAAACGACUUGGAGCAUCCCAACACUUUCCAUGCUAGAUAUAUCAUAGGCGGUUCCCAAACAAAAAAAAUAAACUUUAUUCCUUUUUCCACCAUAACUUUCACUUUUCAUGGCAAGCCGUAUCCAUGGGUGCCCUCCAUACCAACACUUUCUAAUGAAUUUAUUAUUUGACAACAUAAAGUAAAUUCAUUUUUGCAUUUUGGGACUGAGCAUCCCUAAGACCUUUGCCUUACUCGCGUGCAAUGACAAGUGAAUAAACACUCAUCAUGAGAAUAACACAUCUAGCAUGGAAAAUAUUAGCUACCUGUUACCAUUCCGCGAGCGAAACAAACACACAAAAGAGAAGUUCAUUUCGAAAAUUAGAGAUGGCACAUGCAAAUUUGCUUAGAACAUCAAACGAAUACCGCAUAUAGGUAGAUAUAGUGGACUCAUGUGGCAAAACUGGUUUAAAGGAUUUUGGGUGCAUAAGUAGAGGUCAUACUUGGUGCAAAAAGAAGGCUAGCAAAAAGAUUGAGAAGCGACCAACAAAGAAACGAAUAAUCUCAUAAGCAAGCAUUAAGCAUAAUUAACACCGAAUAAUGCACCACAAGUAGGAUAUAAUUUUCAUUGAAUGAUUAUUGACUUUCAUGCAUGCAUAGGGAAUCACAAACCUUAACACCAAUAUUCUUACUAGAGCACAAUUAAUCACCAACAUGACUCACAUAUCACAUCAUCAUAUCUCAAAACUAUUACUAAGAAUCAAGUUUAUUUUGUACAAUGAUCUUCAUGACAUAUAUUUUUUUUCAUUAUCCUUCUUGGAUAUCUAUCACUUUGGGACUAAUUUUCAUGUGUUGCUUUUCAUAAGCUCAAACAAAUAUAAGUGAAGAUCAUGAGCAUAACAUAUUUUAUUUCUCUCAAAAUAAUUUAACUGAAGCAAGAGAGAAUUUAUUAAAAAUUUUACUAACUCUCAAAUAAAUCUAAGUGAAGCAAGAGAUCAUUUCUUCAAAAAUACUAAGCAUGCCGUGCUCAAGAAGAUAUAAGUGAAGCACUAGAUCAAGUCCAUUGCUCAUAAAAAUUUAAGUGAAGCUUAGAGAGCAAUUCUAACAAGUCAUGGCAUAAUUUUGGAUCUCCCAAAUAUAUGUGUCCAGCAAGUAAUGAUGACUUAAAACACAAAAUAAAACAAGCAAAGACACAUAUCAUACAAGAAGCUCCAAGCAAAACACAUAUCAUGUGACGAAUAAAAAUAUAGUCUCGAGUAAAAUACCGAUGGUCGUUAGAAGAAAGAGGGAUGCCACUCGGGGGCAUCCCCAAGCUUAGUUGGUUGCUCAUUCUUGGAUAAUAGCUUGGAAUGCAGGGGUAUCCCCAAGCUUAGUCUCUACUAUCCUUUUUUUCAUCCAUCGUGAGAUAACCCAAAACUUGAAAACUUCAAUCACACAAAACUCAACAAAACCCUUGUGAGAUCCAUUAGUAAAAGAAAGAAAACCACUACUAUAAGUGAUGUGUCAAACCAAUUCUUAUUUUGUUUUUGUAUUAUAUCUACUGGAUUCCAACUUUUCUAUGGCAAAAACUCAUCAAAGAAAACCAUAGAGCCAUCAAAAUAAGCACACAACACAAAGAAAACAGAAUCUGUCAAAACAGAAUAGUCUGUAAUAAUAUGGAACUUUCGGAUACUUAUGGAACCCCAAAAAUUAUACAAAAUUAGGAAAACCAGAGUAAUUUGUAUAUUAGUCUUCGAAAAAAUAAUCAGGGCAAAAUCUCUUUUCUGUGAUUUAUGAAAAUUAUUUUCGUGAGCGCAAAUUUUAUGUCUUUUUCAGCAAGAUCAAACAACUAUCACCACAGAAGAUCCUAAAGGCUUUACUUGGCACAAACACUAAUUAAAACACAAUCAUACCAGUAGCAUAAUUGUGUUAAAACACAAUAACAGAAAGCAAAAAGAAAAAAUAAAUUUUAUUCAUGGGUUGCCCCCAACAAGCGAUAUAGUUUUACGCCCUUAACUAGGCAUAAAGUAAGGAUCUAAGUUUUGUCAUCUUUGGUGCUAGAUCCAUAAGAUGACCUCAUGUUUGAUUCAUAUGGUGGCUUAAUUAUUGUUCUAGGAAAGUGUUCCAUACCCUUCCUCAAAGGAAAUUGGAACUUAAUAUUGCCUUCUUUCAUAUCAAUCACUGACCGAUAGUGCGUAAAAACGGUCUACCAAGAAUAAUUGGACAAGACGGAUUGCAAUCAAUUUCAAGAAUAAUAAAAUCUAUGGGAACAUAGUUUCUAUUUGCAAGAAUAAGAACAUCAUUAAUUCUUCCCGUAGGGUUUUUAAUAGUAGAAUCCGCCAAGUGCAAAUUCAAAGAGCAUUCUUCAAGAUUGGUAAGGCCAAGCAUAUCACAUAAAGAUUUCGGAAUUGUAGAAACACUAGCAUCCAAGUCACACAAAGGAAAAAACUCAUAAUUUUUAAUCUUGACUUUGAUAGUAGGUUCCCAUUCAUCAUGCAAUUUUCUAGGAAUUGAAACUUCUAAUUCCAAUUUUUCUUCCAAAGCUUUCAUCAUAGCAUCAACAAUAUGUUUAGUAAAAGCUUUAUUUUGUUCAUAGGCUUGGGGUGAAUUUAGCAUGGAUUGCAACAAAGAAAUAUAAUCAAUCAAAGAGCAACUAUCAUAAUUAAAGUCUUUUUAAUCCAAAAGAGUGGGCACAUCACUAGCUAAAGUUUUGACCUCUUCAAACCCACUUUUAUCAAUUUUCUCAACAAGAUUUUCACCCUCCGAAAUAUUGGGACACCUUCUAACUAAAGUUGACUCUUCUCCAAUCCCUUUAUCAUCAUUCUUAAUUUUACUAAACAAGGAAUCAAUAGAAGAAACACCAAUCAUUUUAAGAUCUUCAUCACUUUUGCGAAAGAAAUCACUAGAAAACGCUUUUUCUAAAAAUUCUCUUUUAACUCUAAGCAUAGCGGUUCUUUGCUUACUUUCAUCCAUAGAAACAUAAAGAGCUUUAAUUGAUUCAUAUACUUUAGGCGCAAAAAAUUUCACCUUGAGAUUUUCCACAACAGGAGCAAUUCUAGCAACACUUCUAGACAAAUCAUCAAUCUUAUUCAACUUUUCUUCUAUCGAAGUGUUGAAAACCUUUUGUGUGUUGAUAAAUUCUUUAAUAUUAUUAUCAAAAUCAAAGGUAUUCGUAUUAUUAUUGUAAGAUUGAUUUCCAUAGGAAUUACCAUAAUUAUUAGAGGAAUUACUAGGAAAAGGCCUAGGAUUAAAAUUACCUCUAUAAGCAUUGUUGUUGAAAUUAUUGCGAGAAAUAAAAUUCACAUCAAAGUAGACAAAGGCAUAUCAUAAAAAUCAAUAGGAGCACUUUUACUAGCAACCAAUUUCAUAAGAGCAUCAACUUUUUCACUCAAAGAAGAAAUUUCUUCAACCGAAUAAUUUUUUUUACUAAUAGGAGCCCUUUCGGUAUGCCAUUGUGAAUAAUUUGCCAUAAUAUUAUAUAGCAAUUUGGUGGCUUCACCCAAGGUAUUUUCCAUAAAAGUACCACCCGCGGCGAAAUCUAAAAGAUUACGAGAAACAAAAUUCAACCCCGCAUAAAUUUUUUGUAUGAUCAUCCAAAGAUUUAACCCAUGAGUUGGGCAAUUCCUUAGCAUCAUUGUCAUCCUUUCCCAAGAUUGUGCAACAUGCUCAUGUUCAAGUUGCUUGAAAUUCAUGAUCUGGGUUCUAAGGGAAAUAAUUUUUGUGGGAUGAAAAUACUUAGUGAUAAAAGCAUCUUUGCACUUAUUCCAAGAAUCGAUAAUAUUGCAAUGCAAAGAAGAGAACCAAUUUUUUGCAGAAUCACGCAAAGAAAACGGAAAUAAUUUCAUCUUGACCACAUCAUUGUCCACAUCUUUUUUCUUUUGCAUAUCGCAUAAUUCCACGAAGGUAUUAAGAUGGGACGCAGCAUCCUCAUUAGGAGUACCGGAAAAUUGGUCUUUCAUAACAAUAUUCACCAAAGCAGUAUUAAUAUCACAAGUCUCCGCACUAGUGGCGGGAGGAGCAUGCGGAGUUCCAAUAAAAUCAUUGUUGUUUGUAUUUGAGAAGUCACAUAGUUUGGUGUUCUCUUGAGUCAUGAUAACCACACAACAAGAUUGCACUCAAAAACAGAUCCGGCAAGAAAACGGCGAACGGAAAAAGAGAGGCGAAUAAAACAACAAAUUUUUGUGAAGUGGGGGAGAGGAAAACGAGAGGAAAAUGGUGAAUAAUGUAAAUUGCAAGGAGAUGAGAUUUGUGAUUAGGAACCUGGUUAUGUUGAAGAUCCUCCCCGGCAACGGCGCCAGAAAUUCCUUUUGAUGCCGCUUGAAGCUACGUUGAUAUUUCCCCAAAGAGGAAGGGAUGAUGCAGCCCAGCGGUGGUAGGUAUUUCCGUCAGAUAUGAAAACAAGGUUAUCAAACCAGUUGGAGAACCAAGCAACACAACGUAAACAGCCCCUGCACACAAAGAACAACACCUCGCAACCCGACGUGUUAAAGGGGUUGUCAAUCCCUUUCAGGGUACGGUGCCUCAAGAUAGGCAAAGGACGUGAGGUAAAUUUGUAGAUGGGAUAAAUAGAUCGCGGAACAAAUAAAUAGCAGCAAGGUAUUUUUGUAUUUUUUAGUUUAAUAGAUCUGGAAAAAAACGCGAGGAAAAAGUAGAUCGCAAGGCAAAUAUAUGAGAAAGAAGACCCAGGGGGCGUAGGUUUCACUAGUGGCUUCUCUCGAGAAAAAUAGAAAACGGUGGGUGAACAAAUUACUGUUGGGCAAUUGAUAGAACUUCAAAUAAUCAUGACGAUAUCCAGGCAAUGAUCAUUACAUAGGCAUCACGUCCAAGAUUAGUAGACUGACUCCUGCUUGCAUCUACUACUAUUACUCCACACAUCGACCGCUAUCCAGCAUGCAUGUAGUGUAUUAAGUUCAUGGACAAACGGAGUAGUGCAAUAAGAACGAUGACAUGAUGUAGACAAGAUCCGUUUAUCUACUGCGGCAAAUAUGGAUCCCGUCUUUUUAUCCUUAGUAGCAACGAUACAUACGUGUCGGUUCCCUUUCUAUCACUGGGAUCAAGCACCAUAAGAUCGAACCCACUACCGAGCACCUCUUCCCAUUGCAAGAUAAAUAGACCAAGUUGGCCAAAGAAAACCCAAAUAUCGGAGAAGAAAUAUGAGGCUAUAAGAGAUCAUGCAUAUAAGAGAUCAAAGAAUUCAAAUAACUUUCAUGGGUAUAAAAAGAUAUAAUUGAUCAUAGACUCGAAGUUCAUUAGAUCCCAACAAACACACCGCCAAAAGACUUACAUCAUAUGGAUCUCCAAGAGACCAUUGUAAUGAUAAUCAAGAGAGAGAGAGAGAGAGGAAGCCAUCUAGCUACUAACUACAGACCCGAAGGUCUACAAAGAACUACUCAUGCAGCAUCGGAGAGGCACCAAUGGAAGUGGUGAACCCCUCCGUGAUGGUGUCUAGAUUGGAUCUCGUGGUUCUGGACUCUACGGCGGCUGGAUGAAAAUUCCGUCGACUCCCCUAGGGUUUCUGGAAUAUUGGGGCUAUUUAUAGGGAAAAGAGUCGGUCCAGGGGGCACCCGGGGUGGGCACAACCCACCAGGGCGUGCAUGGGCCACCUAGCGCGCCCUGGUGGGUUGUCCCCUCCUCGGGACUGCCCCUAGGUGCAACCAGGUCCCGUUGUGUUCCUUCUGGCCCAUAAAAAUCAUCAUAAAUUGGUGUGGCAUUUGGACUCCUCUGAUAUUGAUUUCCUGCGAUGUAAAAAACAUGCAGAACACAGCAACUGACACUUGGCACUAUGUCAAUAGAUUACUACCAAAAAAUUAUAUAAAAUGACUAUAAAAUGAUUAUAAAACAUCCAAGAUUGAUAAUAAAACAGCAUGGAAUAAUCUAAAAUUAUAGAUACGUUGGAGACGUAUCAGUGACGAACAUGUGAACGAGGUCGGUCCCCCAGUCAGAAUGCAUGUAGGGUUAAGGCAGAUGGCAUGGGUUCUACUUAUCGACGAAGAUUUCCGCUGCUUGUGUUUAACCUUAUGUUCAACCCUUGAGGCUUUAUCUAUUUAAGACCUGACCAUAAUGUUCAUAAUUUUUGUAAGACGGUAUGUAUGGAUGUAAGACUCUUGUUAUUCAGCUUCUGUGUGUUCAGUGAGCAUUGAUCUCUGGGACCACUAUACACGUGCACUAGAUGAUCACACAUCGUGGGCCGCGGGUAGGCAAGUCUGGGUACCCUGGUUCCCAAAAUGCCGAUAGUAGCCCCUGGGCCCAAGGCGUGCUCGGACUUGCCUUCGAGGCGAAGCCAAAGGGCAAAGGCGGAGCGCCGCGGGCCCAAAUCGCCUGCGGGCCAGGCUGACUUGUGCCGCCUGAUGGGCGUGGGUGUCUCCGCUUCCCCAUGCCACCUCGGCAACUGCUCAACUUGAAAACUGCCUGGUGCGUGCACUCGAGCCAUUAUUGCCCUGCUGCAUGCUUGCCUUCUGCUUCUUCUUCUUGUCGUGGACUCGCAUCCGCUUUGCCAGGUUCCGUGAUAGCUCCAAUCUACCCUGCUGCCAUGGCUCCCAGGAAGAAGAAGGGGGGAAUUCCUCCGAUGGCAGAGACCUCGCCGGGGGCGGAACCAGCACUCGGUUUGUCCACGAUGAUCAACCAUGAAGGGUUGGAUAAGGUUCGGCACGCCAUCGCCGCCGAUUCCAACGAGUGGAAGGCAACGAAGAUCUGGCCUGCCUCCCAGACCCUGGCUCAUAUGGAGGCCACCGAGAUCCCCCUUCAUCUUCAUGCCCUUUUCGCCGGCUUGUUGCUGCCAUUCUCUGACUUCUUCAACGUUGUGCUCUCGCAUUACCAAAUCCACACGCUGCAUCUGGAUCUUGGAUCCAUCGUCCUUCUCUUCGCCUUUGCAUUCUUGUGUGAGGCCUUCAUGGGUGUUGCCCCAUCCGUGGCCCUGCUCCACCACUUUUUCUCGCACCAGUUGGUUGACGGCGAGAAACGCUCGGGGUGCGUGUCACUUCAGGUGGUGGUGGUGACCGUAGGUUCCUUCAUCGGGACUGCGCUCCGCCCGGACGCGACGGGGUUCCGGAAGCAAUGGGUGUACAUCGACGCUGGCACAUGUAGCCCUCUGCUCCUGAUCCCGUCGGCGCUGACGGAACCGAGCUCUAGCUGGGGGCACGCGGAGCUUUUCGACCCGCGGCUUGCGUGAGUCAUGACUAGGAUUGCCAUCCUGAGGAAGGCGGGGGUGACAAUGGCGAUGGUUGUGAGGGAGUUCACGCGCCGGCGCAUCGCCUCGCUCUAGCGCCCUUCCCGUCCGAUGUGGGCUUUCACCGGCCAUGCAGACGACAUGAGGCUUCAGCGGCCCCCUCUUGCUUCCAGCACACUGAGUGCAGUGAUGCAUCUUCUGAUCGGCGAAGAACCCAUCGUACUCCCUCCUGACAGGUUUCCUCUGUAUGAUCACCCGAAGGGGGAAGCCUUAGCCAAGAAGAUGUCACGCUUCGACGAGUGGGGGCUGCUCCCCGAGGGCCAUGAGGGGCCUCGUGACAACCCCCUCUUGAUGACUCCUGGGCAUGGAGGCCCUGAGGAGCGCGCUCACGAGGUGGUUGUGGGGGAGUGGGGACUGCCUAGCACUCCUAAGGCUGCCAUUGGGGAGCUGACGCCACCAUGUGCUCCUGAGGUGGCUGCUGGGGAGCAGGAACCACCAUGUGCUCCUGAAGUGGCCGCUCCUGUCCCCACGAGUGGUGAAGGAGGAGUACCGCCCGCGGAUGCAGCCACUGUCCCCGCUGUGGAGGGCCACACUCUAGUCCUUAGCGCAUCUCCUUUGGACCUCGGGGCAUCCCACAAGAGGAAAGAGCCCGGGAGUUGCUGCAAUCCUGUCCCGAGGAUCCUGAAGAAGAGGAGAUGGAUUGCUGUGGAUGAGUACGUACCUUGCCUUCCUCCUGACCCUUGCAUCUCGCGUCUUCGUCUAACUCUUUGCCCGUCAGGACUCCUUCCCUCGAGGAGGCAAGCGCAUCCCGAGUGCCACCUCCAGAGGGCGCUGGUCCCGUCGCAACCACAUACCUUGUGAGCCGCACGCCGGUGUGCACUGACAUGCUUGUGUGUGCGCUGAGGCCAAAACUGAGAAGCCUUGGUCCUGCGCCCCCGACGCCUCUCUUCAGGAGCGGCCUCCGGACUGUGGGGUGAUACCAAGGGCUCCCCCACUGAUUGUCGCUGCCAACUGAGCGUCUCGCGCGACAGAGCCACCUUCAAGAGGCGGGGCAUGCCCGCGUCAGGCCCCACCUCGGGUCGGAGGAAUGGGAGAAGGGACGUCGGCCCCCAAGCCUCUGUCGAGGGCGGGCGAGUACUCUCGCUCUCCUUCGGCUGACCGAGGCGCAGAGGAAGGCCCCGGUCAGGCAUUGGAGCUUGCACGCGGACGCAACGCCAUCCGUCAUGGCCUUCUUGGGGAGGUGGCAAACACGUUGGGCCUCCUUGGGGUGGAGCUUGGCGAUGUUGAUGCCCGCUUGGAGGCAGAGCCCCUGCGCCUGGCGUGCAAAUGGCGUCAGCUACAAUUCACCAUCAACUUCGGUCACCUGCAGCGCAAGCGUGCCCGAGCGGAGGCGGAAGGGCCCCUGUCCGCGGCAAGGGAGGCUUGCGAUCGCGCCUUGGAGGAGGUCUGGGCCACGGAUCGCAGGUGUGAAGCAGCGGAGGCACGCGAGAAGGAGCUCCACGCUUCCAACGCCAUCCUUGAGCGACAAGUCCGGGCACACAUGUUGUGCUCGCCGCCCCGACGGUCGGGCUGCUUGCGGGUGAGGCGAGGCCCCGCACGCUCGAAGACACAUUGGCGCUGGAGGCGAGCCUGGAGCGCGAGCGGCUGGAAGUGAUGGAGCGCCAAGUGGCUGCUACUGAGGAUGCCCUCGCUUCUCAGAAGGGGAGGAUCCAGCGAGAGGUCGACAAAAAGGCCACUGGGAUCCACGAGGCCCUUGCCGAGGAAUAUCGCCGGAUGCUGGAGCUCCAGGAGGCUCGCUUUUGCGUGUGGCCUGGGUCCUUAGGGCAUAUUUAGCGCCGCUGGGCCGACCCAAGCGUGCACACCGCACCCAGCCCCUGCUCGCGGGGUGCGAUGGUGGGAGCCAGAGGUGCCUACCAUCUCUCGCAAAGACGAAAAUCAAGCAAAGGGAAAAAACGGCCAGAGGAAGACGAAACCAAGAAACCUCCCUUUUCUUUAACAAAAACGCAAGAGCUGCAAGUUCAUUGCAAGAAAUAGCAGAUUCGGCUAUAAGAGAAGGCAAAAAAUAGCUGCAUCUGGCACCUAUGCUAGUCUUCUAGUCUCCCCCCAGCACGGAGCAUGGGGCGUCCACUAGGCGUGGGCAUAGUCAUUGGGGGACCGUGUCGUCCGCCUGCACGAAGCAUGGGGCUUCCACUGAGACGUGGGUGGGAGCCCCCGUGAGGCUCAGGGGUAGCACUCAGGAGACUCCGGGGCGUGUACAACCCCACUCAUUAUUACAUGGGAGUGUCAUGAGCGGAGACUUGAGGGGUGCUUCUUGCCCCCCGGGGUGGACCCCGCCCCGCACAUACCCCGACCACCGUCGGGGCAUUCAGGGCAGGACCAAGGGGCAAGGGGCUACGCAGGCUAUGGUAAGGUGGCCGCGAGGCCCUUGGUCGGGGGAGGGCUCGCUCGUGCCUUCUGCGGAGAACGACCCGCUUCCGGAUGGCACGCACCACCGUGGUGGUGGCGCCAUACGCCUUGUGACGCGGGGGAGCUCUGGCACCGGGCUCCCCCUCCCAGCGUGGGGCGCGUCCUCGCGCGACCUCCUGGUGUGCCCUGCCUGUCUGGGGCGGGUCCGACGCCUGGAGGUGCACCGUCAUGGCGCGAUUUACCUGCGAUCCAAGGUUAGCGUGACAUGUUACAAAGAUAUUGGUUGUAACUGGUGGCCGUUACUGCCGAAGGUGCCGACGGAGCAUUGGUUUGGCUCGUAAGGGGCCCCGAUCCCAUGUGGCCUCGGCGAUCUAGACGUCCAGAUCGACAGGGGGAAUGUGCGUGGGCCUCUCCUUUGUUUGUACAACGGGCCCAAUAAUGGCGACUCAGAGGCAACAGGGGACAUCAUCCUCAAUCCAGCCUCUAGUCCUUCCGCUCUGCUGCUCACCAUCUCUGGUACCCGAUCGAGCCGACCAAGGGGUGGUCCCUCGUUGUGGCUCCAGGAGGAGCCGCCUAUCCCGGUCGCACCUCGGGGGAACGCAUCUUGAGUUGGGUGAGCGGCGUCGCGUGCGAGGUCACCGCUGCGAGACCCUACGGACACCCUCCAGGAAGGCAAGCAGAUGCAGCGGGAGUAGGUACGAGUCCCUGGCGGUGUAGGCAGGAUAUGAAAGGGCUCCGCGCCCUCGCAGGCGGCAUCGAGCAGCUCAGCGACCUGACCAAGCAAGGCGUCAUGGCUGCCUUCUGGAAGCCGACAUCUCAACAGCUCUCGCGACACAAGGAGCGCAGCCCGCAGGUUCACCAGCCCUCGGCGAGCUUGCAAGGACGAUGUCACGACGUGGUCGGAGGACCGCGCAGCGGCACGAUUGCGACGCCACGCGGGAGAGGGCGGUGGCGGGCCCCAUCACCAACGGCUAGUGACGCCAGCGGUAUCGUUAGCCAAGGGGAGCGCAAGGUGAUGAUGAGCUCCAUGGCCGAGGGGCACCACCCGGGCGGCGUGAGUAGCCCAAUGCUCAACGCAAGCUCAGGGAGCCUAUGCCAUGGGAGCGAUGGAACAGAAACGGAGCAAGGGUGGAAGAAGGACUCCGACACGCCCCUACCUGACGCGCCAAAUGUCGGAUUCAGGGCUCCGUAGACCCAAGAAAGGUUCAAACUCUGGGGCAUGUGCGAAGAACUCAACCUCUCCAGCGAACCAGCUAGUCGCCCUACGACCUAGCUCCACUCCUCAGAACAAGGAAGAAGAUGAACACGGCAGUUUACCCAGGUUCGGGCCACCUUGUGGUGUAAGACCCUACUCCUGCUUUUGGGGUGGAUUGGCAUCACGAGGGGCUGAGGAUGAACUAGUACAUGGGAUGAAUAACCUCACGAGGUUUGGGGGUGAGGGAGUGAGUCAACCGGGUUCCGAUCCCAUCAUAUGGUGGUGGCUAGCCUAUACUUAUAGUGGCCUUGGUCCUCUUCCACCAAAUCGUAGGCGGGAAGGGAUCCCAAAGUGGCCAAUUUGAAAGGGGACAAGUAGUACAUCUUACCCUGACGAAAGGUAGUCUUCGCCUGAAAAGAUGAUACGUCUCAACGUAUCUAUAAUUUAUGAAGUAUUCAUGCCAUGUUUACAAUAAUUUUAUAUGGUUUUGGUAUGAUUUGCAUGGAACUAACCCGGACUGACGUUGUUUUCAGCAGAACUACCGUGGUAUUGUUUUUUGUGCAGAAAUGAAAGUUCUCCAAAUGAGCUGAAACUUUUUGACGAUUUUUUAGAACAAAAUAGACCCCCGAAGCUUUGUGGGAGGGCCAGAAGAUCCACAAGCAGGGCACAACCCACUCGGGCGCGCCUGGGCCCUUGCCCAUGCCCCGGUGUAUCAUGCUCACCUAGAGGCCCAUCUAGACGUGAGACCGACGUCAAAAAUUCCUAUAAAUAGAGAAACCAUCAGAAAUAACCCUAGAUCGAAAGUUCCGCCACCGAAAGCCUUUGUAGCCACCGAAAACCAAUCAGGACCAUGUUCCGGCACCCUAUCGGAGGGGGGAAUCAUCUCCGGUGGCCAUCUUCAUCAUCCCGGCGGCCACCACGAUGAGGAGGGAGUAGUCCAUCCUCGGGGCUAAGGGUUUGUACCGGUAGCUAUGUGUUUAAUCUCUCUCUCUCUCUCUCUCGUGAUCUUGAGAUGUCACGAUCUUGAUGUAUCACGGGCAUUGUUAGCAUAGAUGGAUCAUAUGAUGUUUCUCCCCUCUCUACUCUUGUUGUGAUGAAUUGAGUCUUUACCCUUUGAAGUUUUGUCUUGUCAGAUUGAAUGUUCAGAUCUGAAAACACAUGAUAUAUGUCUUGCCGUACAAAUACUUGAGGUGACAAUGGAGUAUUAUAUUGAUUCACUUGAUAUAUGUUAUGGCACUCAACUUGCGGAUUCCCGCAGUGACAUUGGGGUAAUCUAUGCAUAGGGGUUGAUGCACAUUUUUAUUAUCUUUUCUCCAGUAGAAACUCUGGGGUCCCCUUGUAGUUCUUUGGGUGGAUUGAGUAUUAUGAAUAUGAAAUUGUUUGAUAUGUACUGUAUAAUUAACUCACGGGUACUCGCGGUGACAUUAGGGUAUCUAGGUGACAUUAGGGUUGGUUGAUAUGUAUCAUAUGGUGUUAUUUUAGUACGAACUCUUGAUUAGAUCGAUCGAAAAGAAUAGCUUGCUGUUAUUUUAAUACGAACUCUAUGAUAGGUUGAUCAGAAAGAAUAGCUUUGAGGUGGUUUCGUACCCUACAAACAAUUUCUAUCUUUUGUUCUCCGCUAAUAGGAACUCGGGAGUAAUUCUUUAUUACACUUUGAGGGAUAAUCAUAUGAUCCAACUAUGUUAGCAUUGUUGAGAGAUUGCACUCGUGAAAGUAUGCACCUUAGGCCUCAUUUUCCAUUAUUGCAAUACCGUAUGUGCUCCGUUUUACUAUUUACUACCUUGCUGUUUUUUAUUGUUCGCACUACAAAAACUCAUAUCUACUAUCCAUACUACACUUUUAUCACCAUCUCUUCGCCGAACUAGUGCACCUAUACAAUUUGCCAUUGUAUUGGGUUUGUUAGGGACACAAGAGAUUUAUUGUAUUUGAUUGCAAGGUUGCUUGAGAGAGACUAUCUUCAUCCUACACCUCCCACGGAUUGAUAAACUUUAGGUCAUCCACUUGAGGGAAAAUUGCUACCGUCCUACAAAACUCUACGCUUGGAGGCCCAACACGAGUCUACAAGAAUAAAGUUGCGUAGUAGACAUCAAGCUCUUUUCUGGCACCGUUGCCGGGGAGCUUUAGAUCUUGUAAUCGAAUCUUUUAGUUUCUUGUUUUAUCACUAGUUUGGUUUAUAAAAUAAAAAUACAUAAAGAAAUGGAAUUGAGUUGCAUCAUAUUAUUGAUCAUCUUUAUAAUAUCUUUCUUGAAAAUGAUGGUUCGAAAAAUUAUGCUCAAUUGAUACAAGAAGAAUGUAAUAAAAUGAUUGGCAUGAAUGAUGAGCAUGAUGGCAAUGUUGUUAGUAUGAAUUCUUUGAAUAUCCAUGAUGUUAAUGAUAUGCAAAGCUACAAGCUUGGGGAUGCUAUGUUUGAUGAAGAUGAUAUUUUCACUCCCCCAUGUUUUGAUGAGAUAAAUUAUUAUGAUGAUAGCAUGCCUCCUAUUUAUGAUAAUUCUAAUAAUGAAAGUGGAUUUGGAGAGGUCAUGACUUUAUUUAGUGAUGAAUCCACCAUUUUGGAUGAGGCGUCAAUUGACUAUGAUAACAAGGUUGCUAUCUAUGAUGAUUAUGGUGAUGACAGGUAUGCUAUAAAGAAUAAUGAUAACCAUGAAACUUUUUAUCAUGAUUUUAAUUUUCACUCUCAUGAUAGUUAUUUUGUUGAGUUUGCUCCCACUACUAUUGAUGAGAAGAAAUUUACUUAUGUGGAGAGUAAUAAGUUUUCUAUGCUUAUGUGUCAUGAAAAGAAUGCUUUAUGUGAUGGUUAUAUGGUGGAAUUUCUUCAAGAUGCUACUGAAAAUUAUUAUGAGAGAGGAACAUAUGCUUUUACAUAUCUCAAUAAUAUCAAGUUUCCUCUCCAUGUGUUGAAAGUUUUGAAAUUAUGCAUGUUUUGCCUUCCUAUGCUAGUUGAUUCUUGUUUCCAUGAAUUAUUUGCUCACAAAAUCCCUAUGCAUAGGAAGUGGGUUAGGCUUAAAUGUGCUUACCAUGUGAUUCAUGAUGCUCUUUUUCAUGUUUCAAUUCUUAUCUUUUCUGCGAGCAUCGUUGAAAUCAUCAUGCCUAGCUAAAAGGAAUUAAAGAAAAGUGCUUGUUGGGAGGCAACCCAACAUGUUUACCUACUGUUUUUGUGUGUUCACAUGAUUAGGCUACUGUAUUAAUCAUGUUUUAUUGUCUUUGUUUCAAUAAAGUGCCAAGUAAAGCCUUUGGGAUCAUGUUGGGUGAUGGUUGAUUUGAUCUUGCUAAAAAACAAAAACUUUUGCACUCACGAAAAUAACUCUCAUUUUUAACAAAAGAGUGAUUUUGAGUUGAUUCUUUUUGAAGAAGAUUAAUAUACAAAUUGCUCAUGUGUUCAUAAUUUUUGGAGUAGCAGAAGUAUGGUUUGAGUAUAGAUUACUACAGACUAUUCUGUUUUUGACAGAUUCUGUUUUCAAUGCAUAGUUCGCGUGUUUCCUUGUUUAUAUGGCUUAUAUUGCUCAAUACAAAUUGUGGAAAUGAUAUGAUACAGUAGGCAUUGUGUGGAAACAACUAUUAAUCUUGUCUUUGAUAGUAUCAAAGUGAAAUGGUUUACUCUUUAUGAUACUAACCUAUCUCACGAAGUUCUGUUAAGUUUUGUGUGAUUGAAGUUUUCAAGUUUUGGGUGAAAUGUCGAUAUGAGGAGAAUAACGAGUGACAAGACCCUAAGCUUGGAAAUUCCCAAGGCACCCACAAGGUAAUAUUCAAGGAAGAUACAAGCAACUAAGCUUGGAGAUGCCCCGGAAGGCAUCCCCUCUUUCGUCUCCAACAUUAUCGGUAACCUCACUUGGAGUUGUGUUUUCACUCGUCACAUGAUACGUGUUUUGCUUGGAGCGUCAAUUUAUUAUUUUUAGGAUUUUCUUGCUGUUAUUUAUAAUAAUGUUUUGCAUAUUUUAUUUAAAUAAAAGUGGCAAUGAUAGCCUUUGUCAUGCUUAUUUUGCAAGUAUACUUGUUGCUGUCUGAAAACAGAAAGUUUACCGUUGUUGCAAAAAUUUCAUAGAAAAGUCAUAAUGUGAUAAAAUUUUGAAACUUUUUGCAAAAUAAGCUCUGAUAAAUUUUCUACAGUGUGUAAUUUUUUUUAUAAUUUUUGGAGUUAGGGAAGUAUGGUGAGUAUUGCGUUCUUUACAGAUUGUACUGUUUUGGCAGAUUGCUGUUAUGUUUGCAUUGUUUGGAUAUGUUUGCUUGUUUAAUGAUUCUAUUUGACGAUAGGAGUAUUAAAUAUGCAGAGGAAUUUAGUAUGAAAUGUUGAAUAACAAUUUUAGUGAUUUUAUACAGUAGAGAAUGAUAAGGUUAUUGCAUUGGUUUAUACUAACUUAUCUCACGAGUUCUUGUUGAGUUUUGUGUCGAUGAAGUUUUUGAGAUUUAGGGAAACCAUGAUCUGAGAGGAAUUAAGGAGACACAAAAGCUCAAGCUUGGGGAUGCCCAAGGCAUCCCAAGUUAAUAUUACAAGAAGUCUCAAGCGUCUAAGCUAGGGGAUGCCCCGGUAGGCAUCCCACCUUUCCUCUUCAACAAUUAUCGGUUAUUAUCGGUUGAGCCUAAGUUUUUGCUUCUCCACAUGAUGUCUACUAUAUUUGGAAUCUCAGUUUUUUUUGCUUGCUGUUUUAAUAAAAUACUUAGAUCUGAAAGUUUUUAAAUUAAAUUGAGUCCUCAAAUAGCUACCCAUUUACAUAACUACUCAUUUGAUCUUCACUUAUAUAUUUUUGGAGUAGUUUGUCAUUUACUCCCGUGCUUCACUUAUAUCCUAUGAGUAAAUUGUUGAAUGAAUUGAAUAUCAUGAAGUUGAAAUUAUAUGUUCAUAUCAUGCCUAGUGGUAGCUUCACAUUGGGUUUAGAAAGUGAAAUCUUUUGAAGCUUGACAAUCACAAUAUUGGUCAUACAAGCAAUUCACAAAUAAUUAGUAUAAGGAAGAGACCUUUCACAUGCAAAUACACUAUCUUGGAAAUCUUUUGUGAUUAUGAUCCCUCAUCAAAAUAUUAUAUGCCAAAAUUGUUGACAUUGGACAAGGAAGACAACAUAAUGAUUUAUGUUUGUUCAUAUCCACAUAGAAGUUAUAUUUUCAUAGAUCCUUCAACAUGUGGUGCUUGCCCCCUAUCUUUGCUAGCCAACAAUUCCGCACCAAGUAGAGAUACUACUUGUGCAUCCAAAAACCCUUAAACCGAAAUCUUGUUUUGAGAGUCCACCAUACCUACCUAUGGAUUGAGCAAGAUCCUUCAAGUAAGUUGUCAUCGGUGCAAUAAGGUAAGAAAAAUUGCUUCUAAAAGUGUUAGAUCAUUUAGUGUAAGAGAAAAUUGAGCAUUGUACGAACUUGUGAUGGCAAAGAAUAAAAGCGACAGACUGCAUAAUAAAGGUUGCUAUCAUAAGGGGCAAUAUAACGUGAUGUUCUUUUGCACUAAGGGGUUGAGCAUACAAACACAUAAGCGCAUCGCAACCUCUGCUUUCAUCUGCGAAGGGCCUAUAUUUACUUUUAUGUAUCUACUUUCAUGCAAGCGUCAAAGUUUUUCUCUCUAUUCCUUUUUAUUUUUCUCUUUUGGCAAGCAUCAUGUGGUGAGGAAAGAUCUAGGCACAUAUAUCCAGUUGGAUAUGGGUAGCAUGAGUUAUUAUUGUUGACAUAACCAUUGAGGUGAAUACGUUGCGAGGCGAAAUUAUAAGCCCUAUCUUUCUAUGUGUCUAGUUGAAACGUUUUGUUCAUGUGUAUGCUAUGAGAAUUAGCAAUCAUAGAAGACUAUAUGAUGGUUGAGUAUGUGGAGCUCUUACUUAAACUCUGUUUAAUAAGUUGAAUUGCAAUUGCUUGGUGACUGAGAACAUAGGUUGUUGAGUUUCAAGAAAAUUCAUUGUUUGAACCUUAACAUGUGAAUUGGUUCCUACUUGGUCGUGAGAAGUUUUAUAAGAAAGAAUUGUUAUUAUGAUGCUAGGAAAAGUGAUUGAAAUUGUCAUUGAUCAAAUUUGUGCACUUUUCUAGCAUUCACACUUCAUAAAUUAUUUGUUUAUCAUUUACCUACUCGAGGACGAGUAGGAAUUAAGCUUGGGGACACUACUAGGGAAAACCUUAUACACAGAAUCUUACCAGCAACGCUCUUCAAAAUAUGACGCUACUUCUAUUUAGCAGCAGCGCCUGCCAGUAAAAUGCGCUGCUGAAAGAAAAAGAGCAGUAGCGCGUCCUCUCUAAACCGCGCUACUGCUCUAAUUGCCAUGACCUCGCCGUCAAGCUAGUUAUAGCAGUAGCGCCCUAUCCUGUACCGUGCUACUACUAUAGAUGUUAGCAGUAGCGCAUUUCUAUAAAGCUCGCUACUGCUAAGUUCAGUCCAAAAGUUUAGUCCCACCUCGCUCCGCGAACAGGGUGUUUACCACCUUAAAUAUGUUAUUUCUCAAACUAUCACAACCACUUGGUCUUCACUGAACUCUAUGUGUAGAAUUUGUGGCCGCAAUAUGAGUCUUCUUCGGUUCCUACCGGAGAGGACUCAUAUUGACAAUUCAGAUUGUACACAAAAAGAUCAUUGAUGACCAAUGUAUUUUUGCAGUGGCAGACAAUGUAUUUUUGCUUGCUUACACUUAGUAGUAGCGCUUUUUAUAGUAAGGCGCUACUGCUAGCCAACUUAGCAGUAUCGCUUAUCCUCGCCCAGCGCUACUACUAUUCUCCUUAGCUGUAGUGCUUUUUCAGACCCGCGCUAUGACUAACCCUACCUUAUCCCCCCCACGCGGCCGACCCUCUCUCUCACUCACUCUCCCUCAGUCACUCUCGCCCGCGCCAAUACCCAUCGUCGUCUGUCGCUGCCGCCGCCGUCGUCCGACGCCACCAAGGUACUCCCUCCUUCCGUCCCUCCUCCUCCCACCGCACCCUCCCCCCUCCUCCUCCCACCGCGCCCUCCUCCCUCCUCCUCCCUCCNNNNNNNNNNNNNNNNNNNNNNNNNNNNNNNNNNNNNNNNNNNNNNNNNNNNNNNNNNNNNNNNNNNNNNNNNNNNNNNNNNNNNNNNNNNNNNNNNNNNNNNNNNNNNNNNNNNNNNNNNNNNNNNNNNNNNNNNNNNNNNNNNNNNNNNNNNNNNNNNNNNNNNNNNNNNNNNNNNNNNNNNNNNNNNNNNNNNNNNNNNNNNNNNNNNNNNNNNNNNNNNNNNNNNNNNNNNNNNNNNNNNNNNNNNNCGGACUAUCAUCAUCAUCGACCGGACUCCAAGACUAUGAAGAUACAAGAUUGAAGACUUCGUCCCGUGUCUGGAUGGGACUUUCCUUGGCGUGGAAGGCAAGCUUGGCGAUACGGAUACGUAGAUCUCCUACUAUUGUAACCGACUCUAUGUAACCCUAGCCCUCUCCGGUGUCUAUAUAAACCGGAUGGCUCUAGUCCGUAGGACACAACAACAACCAUUACAAUCAUACCAUAGGCUAGCUUCUAGGGUUUAGCCUCCUUGAUCUCGUGGUAGAUCCACUCUUGUAAACAUCCACAAUAUCAAUAUCAAUCAAGCAGGACGUAGGGUUUUACCUCCAUCAAGACGGCCCGAACCUGGGUAAAACACUGUGUCCCUUGUCUCCUGUUACCAUCCGCCUAGACGCACAGUUCGGGACCCCCUACCCGAGAUCCGCCGGUUUUGACACCGACAUUGGUGCUUUCAUUAGGAGUUCCUCUGUGUCGUCACCGAUAGGCUUGAUGGCCUCUUCAAUCGACAACGACGCAGUCCGGGGUGAGACUUUUCUCCCCGGACAGAUCUUCGUAUUCGGCGGCUUCGCACUGCGGGCCAACUCACUUGGCCAUCUGGAGCAGAUCGAAAGCUACGCCCCUGGCCGUCAGGUCAGGUUUGGAAGCCUAAACUUCACGGCCGAUAUCCGCGGGGACUUGAUCUUCGACGGAUCUGAGCCACAGCCGAGCGUGCCGCGCUGUCACGAUGGGCACGACCUAACUCUACCGCCGGACCGCACCUUGGAGGCCGUACACGAAUCCGCUCCGACCCAUAGUCCGGAGCCGAUCGCACGGAUCGAGGACGGAUGGCUGGACACCGCCUCGGGAGCUGCAACUUCCAUGGCGAUGGAGCCGAACACUUACCUUGUCCCGCAUAAAGCCCAUGACUCCGAGGUACCGGACCCCCUGCCGGACUCCGAACCUCCUGCGCCCCUGCCAGUCGAAUCCGAUUGGGCGCCGAUCAUGGAAUUCACCGCUGCAGACACCUUUCAGCACUCACCCUUCGGCGAUAUCUUAAAUUCGCUGAAGCAUCUCUCACUAUCCGGAGAGCCCUGGCCGAACUACGGCCAGGAUGGUCGGGACGCGGACAAUGAAGAAAUUCAGAGCCCACCCACCACCCACUCCGUAGCCACCGUCGAUGAUCUAACCGACAUGCUAAACUAUGACUCCGAAGACAUCAACGGUAUGGACGACGAUGCCGGAGACAAUCAAGAACCAGCGCCUACAGGGCACUGGAAGGCCACCUCGUCACAUGACAUACAUAUGGUGGACACCCCAAAGGGAAGCGAUAACGAGGAACAACGGGAUGCGUCAGAGGAUAAUCCCGCCGAUAAACAAACAAAACGGCGACAUAGACGCCGCCCUAAGUCCUGCCUCGAUCAAAGCAGCAUUCCUAACGACCCAGCGAUAGAGCAGGGCAAACCAGCGGACGACGAACAUACAACCAAGCAACCAUCCGAACAAGACGAACCGGAUAAUCAACCACUUCACGGAGCAAUCAACAGUCCGGACACAACACCGGAGCAUAAGAACCUUCACAAAAGACUCGUCGCCACUGCAAGAAGUUUGAAGAAGGAAAAACGGAAGCUCAAAAAAAGCGGAAGACAUAAUCAGAAUGAAGUGGAGCAAAGUACUCAAGACCGCAGACAAAUAUGACAAUGGCCAUCAAACUAAGAGCUACCCGAAGUGCAAGUUGCUGCCAGAAUUUGACGAGGAAGCCAUAGAACCCUCACAGUCAAAAAAUAAAGAGGCCGCCUGGCCGGAUAGACGGCCAGAUGAUAGGCCAAAAGUGACAAGCGGCGCCGCACACAAGCCGACUUAUGAUCCUGGGAAAACGGACGGCCCAACUAGGUCCAUCUACGGGCCAAAAAAGAGGGCCCCGGGAAGUAACACAACACGACAAGUGUUCGAAGACAGCGGCACACCCAAAUAUAGGGGCGCCGCACACCCGCUAUGUUUUACCGAUGAGGUGCUGGAUCAUGAAUUUCCAGCAGGGUUCAAACCCAUAAACAUAGAGGCAUACGAGGCACAACAGACCCCGGAGUCUGGAUAGAAGAUUACAUACUACACAUACACAUGGCUAGAGGAGAUGAUCUCCACGCCAUAAAAUACCUACCCCUCAAGCUCAAAGGGCCAGCUCAGCAUUGGCUCAAAAGCCUCCCAGAAAACACUGUUGGAAGUUGGGAAGAGCUUGAGGACGCGUUUAGAGCAAAUUUUCAAGGGACUUAUGUCCGCCCUCCGGAUGCAGACGAUCUGAGUCAUAUAACCCAACAGCCCGGAGAGUCAGCGCGCAAAUUCUGGAACAGGUUCCUUACCAAAAAGAACCAAAUAGUCGACUGUCCGGAUGCGGAAGCCUUAGCAGCUUUUAAACACAACGUCCGAGACGAAUGGCUCGCCAGACACCUCGGCCAAGAGAAGCCAAGAACAACGGCCGUGCUAACAAGCCUCAUGACGCGCUUUUGCGCAGGAGAAGACAGCUGGCUAGCAAGAUGCAGCACCAGCGACCCGAGUACAUCCGAGAUCAGAGAUGGAAACGGAAAAUUACAGCGCAGGAAAGAUCAGCGGCGGAAUAAAUAAAAAAGACCAAAGGGCACAGCGGUCAACGCCGGAUUCAAAAGCUCGCGGCCAAACAAUAAAACACUGCCUCUUAAGGACAACAGCGACGAGCUAUCAAAUUUAAACAAAAUCUUAGAUCGGAUAUGUCAAAUCCAUAGUACCUCCGGAAGGCCUGCAAACCAUACCAAAAGAAAUUGUUGGGUUCUUAAACAGUCCGGCAGACUCAACGCCGGACACAAGGGGCUCGAUGCGCCAAGCGAGGACGAUGACGAACCCCACCAGCAAAGCACCGGAAGUCAAAAGACUUUCCCACAAGAAGUCAAAACAGUAAACUCGCUUCAUGUGAUAGUACGGAAAACCAACACGGCACUCGCUAAGACAAGUGUCGCACGAUCCACCCCAGCGGAACACCAAGAUUGGAUGUCAAAACCAAUCACUUUCGACCAUCUGGAUUAGUCCAGAAGUAUCCGGAACGCAGGAUAGACUGCCCUGAUAUUGGAUCCCAUAAUAGACGGACUGCAAUUCAUGCAGGUUUUGAUGGACGGCGCCAGUAACUCAAACCUGCUAUAUCCGGACACAAUCCGCAAGUUGGGAUAGACCCUACUACAAUUCGGCAUAGCCGCACUUCCUUCAAAGGAGUGGCGCCAGGCCCUUACACCAAGCGCACAGGUUCAUUAUUACUAGAAGUUGUGUUCGGGUCACCUGACAACUUCCGACGAGAAAAGCUAACCUUUCAUGUCGCCCCAUUUUCAAAUAGCUAUCAAGCAUCACUGGGACGGGAAGCUUUCAUCCGCUUCAAUGCAAUACCACAUUACGCGUCUCUUAUGCUUAAAAUGCCCGGUCCAUAUGGCAUCAUUUCAUUAAAAGGUCGCCUGAGACCCCGGACACGGCUGGACGAGUCCGGAACAAAUAAGCUAGGGGCUACCUAGCCGCACACCCCUUCACAAGGGUUUGUACAUAUAAGCCAUAAUGAGCUAGCAUAGGCUCAACUUUAUUAAUCUAUAUUUCAAUUUUUUAUGCACUUUCUCGCAUGAUUUCUUUUCAAACUAAGUUCCUCUCUUUUUACAGAUGAACAGCGUGCACACCCGUCCAGGAUACGACACAACGGAGACACAGGCGCAGACGUGCAAUAGGGACCCGUUGCAAGGACUCUUUUCAGACUAAGACCCUACGUAAACCUUUCUUACUGUCUCUUGUUGCUAUAAUCCCCUGGUUUCUCAUUAUAACCAGAGUGGAGACUGGCGUUUUGGCAUCGGCCGCGCUAGAAGAACUUGCCCGUACCUGGACACAAGGGGCUUAGGGCAUUGUUUUGCCCGCUAUUGUAAAGACCGAACACCUUCGGGAGUGUUCGGCAUCUCAAGUUAGGCCUUAUAUGCAUCAGCUCCGAAUCAUGUCUUUGGUCAAAUGUUGGGUUUGCCCGGCUCCUGUGUUUUGCUGCCUUACGUUCCAUAUCACCGGCUAACGCGGCACCAGGAGAACUACUGCGAUUGUGCCCCAGUUCGGCUGGGCGACCACCUCAGUAGAGAAAGCCGAAAACUGACUGUCAUGAUACAGCGAGAGACUGGUCAACCACUCGAUCGACCAUGGGAAUGUUUAGAAUUCCUCCGCUUUGACGAAGGGCCAUUUCCCAGUCAGGCACAUACGCGCCCCAAAUUCGGAGAGCGCGGUGCCCCCAGGGGCUAUGUCGUAGCCCCACCCUCGAACUCCAUGGCUAAGUGAAAGUGAUAAAGCAUUAUAGUCCGGUUGCCUCGUUUGCUACGCUACCACCUCCUUUACAGGACCGAGACGUCGGAUUAAGUGUGAAAACGUGCUUUUUUUGCGAACACCCCCGCACCUAGUGCAUGGGGGCUGAAGCCGACGACUGCCAUCUUUCAGGUUAUACACACAUAUACAUGAACGGCCGCAUAGGAGAUAUUCUAUUACUUGAACGCACAAGUAUAAAAGGCGCUUACAUCAUAAAUAUUGUUUUACAUCAUAAAAACGUUCAUUCGAACGUAACAUUUUUUGAGCACUGCGACUCUAUUACACGAGCACCAUGCAGCACUUCGCCAAAAUAGUGCUCGGCGGGUAAUCGGUUAUCGUCCGAACCCGGGGUCGCAACAGCGGUGGCAUCCAUCUCUGUCCAAUGUGUCUUCACACGGGCGAGUGCCAUCCGCGCACCCUCUAUGCAGGCCGACCGCUUCAUCGCCUUGAUAUGCGGCACCGCCCCAAGAAAUUGCUGCAAUAAGCCAAAGUAACUCUUCGGCUCGGGCCUAUCCGGCCAGACAUGGGUCACUAUAUCUGUCAUAGCAAGCCCGGACAACCUAUUUAGCUCAGCCCACUCGGCCAGACGGUCGGUCAGCGGAAGUGAACACUCCGGACUAUGGAAUUGAGACCAAAACACAUCUUCCGUCUUGUGAUCCUUCUGGCUUUGAAAAUGCACACCGGCAUCCGCCGCACUCGCUGCUAAGUCCAUAUAAGGGUCCUCUGGACCCCACAGUUGGCCCAGCUGAGCAUACUUUGGAUCCAUAAACCUUCGGCGCAGCAGAAAAGGCUUGCCAUCUACAAUAUCUCCGGCCUGGCGCAGCUCUUCCUUUAUAGCCCGCAUUGCAGAGCGGGCAUCCUUGGCUUCGGCGGUGGCCUUCCCCAGGUCUUCUUGCCCCGCUAGGCGCUCCUUCCCAAGAGCCUCAUUGCGGUCAGUAGCAUCUUUUAACUUCACGGCCAUUUCGGCCAUCUCUUCCCUGCUCCGGCAGUGUGCGACCCUUUCGGCCGCUAACUCCUCGGCCGCCCUUGAGGCCGCCGCAUUACUCCUUCUGGCCUGCUCCUUGGCUUGAGCAAGUUCGGUCCGAAGGCUCUCCACAGCAGCGGCACUAUCUGCAUUUCACACACAUGUUGUAAGGAGCUGGCUUCGGCUCCCUUACCAAGUGACCGCACAGAAACACUUACCUUGUGACUCAUCAAGUCGCCUGUUGACCAGCGUGAUGUCCGCAUCCGCAACAGCGAGUUGCCGCUUUACUUCAGCAACUCCAUCAGUCCGGCUGGCCCCCGGACGACCUGCCACCUGCAUCGGCACGGCGGAAAUUUAAACCUGCGAUUUUGAUCCUCGGCAUGCUGUCGAUUUCGACAACCUACCGAGUCUCAGGGGCUACUAUCUAUACAGGGCGCAUUCUAUAUGCAAAACUGUUAAAAGGUGUGUCAUUUUUACGUACCUCAAACCCCGCCAGCAAACUCCUGACGGCAUUAUGCAACCCGCCUUUGGCGGACGAAAUCCUUUCAAUCACCAUGCUCAUCAAUGCGUGGUGAUUUUCUGAGAUAGACGCCUUCUCAAGCAGAUCCUUCAGCCGUACACCAGUUGGCGCCGAACUAUCCGGCUUUGCCAAACCAGGGGGCUCCCUCCGUGACGACACUUCAGGCUCGUCCGCCCUAUCCGAUGGCGCUCCGGACGGAGGCGUCUCGCUCUCCAUCAUCUCCGGACGAAGGUCCCCCGAAGACGAGCUCAUUUGCGAAGGACGGAGAUCCGAACUACAAGGUAAAAACUUUAGUUAUCCUCAGAAGCACAAAUAGGGAUGUCCCUUAUUAUAAAACUCCUUUCUUUCUACUUACGGCUUGUUGGAGGGCUGAUUCUUUAAGGGAGAUUGUGCGGCCGGGGCCUCCCCGGACGCAGGACCCUCUGGCGAAGAUUUCUUCCCCCGUUUAGGGGCUUUUGCCCCCGGGUCCUCAGAGGCAGUCCUCUUCUCCCCUUGGAGGGAGGGAUUCUCGAUCCCCCCUCUUUCAAGAGCCUCCUUAGGUGAGGCAGUAGCUUUCCUGCUUCCCCCUUCGCCUUCCUCUGGAGGCGCAACCUCAAGCAUCCGGACCAGCACGGAAUCCGGUGCGGUCUCGGGGAGGGGGGCCGGACACCAUAUCAAUUUUGCUUCCGCUAUCCACUCCUGUUUAGAAAGAAGUUGGUCAUAAGGCGAAUCAUCGAAAGGCAAACAAACGGUAUGUCCGGACUUGGAACUACUUACUUGAGUAUCCAGGCGAUUGCAGCUUAGGCCAACAUCCUCGGUCAAUUCCGGAUGCGCCUCUUGCGAUCCGAAGAAUAAUUUGUACAUCUGUAGGGGUGUCAUACCCAUGAAGUGUUGAAGAAUCCGUGGGCCCUCCGGAUUGAACUCCCACAGCCGGAGAGGGCGGCGUUUGCAAGGCGGGAGACGCCUAAUCAGCAUAACCUACAUUACCACCACCAUAUCAACCUCCCUCAUUUGGAGAUCUCGAAUCCGGCCCUGCAGUAGGGGCACGUCCUUUGACGACCCCCAGUUGAGCCCUUGGUUGAUCCACGACAUCAACUGUCGUGGAGGUCCCGGGCGGAAUAAGGGCGGCGGCUUUUGUCUACGUCCCCUCGGAACGGUAAUAUAGAACCACUCUUGCUGCCACGGGCCGAGCUCCUCUUGGAAGGAGCCAGCGGGCCACAGGGCAUCGGCCCUCCUACUUAUGGCCGCCCCGCCGCACUCCGCUUGACGCCCCCCGAUCAUCUUCGGCGCCACAUUGAAGGUCUUCAGCCACAGGCCAAAGUGAGGGGUGACGCGGAGGAAGGCUUCGCAGACGACAAUAAAUGCGGAAAUAUGGAGGAUGGACUCCAGAGCCAAAUCGUGGAAUUCCAACCCAUAGUAAAACAUGAGCCCUCUCACAAAAGGAUCCAUCGGGAAGCCUAAACCCCGACGGAGGUGGGAUACAAAAACGACAUACUCGCCGGGCUCGGGGGUAGGGAUGGCCUGCCCUUCGGCAGGCAACCUGUGCGAAAUCUCAUAAGCCAGGUACUUGGCCUCCCGCAGCUUUAGCACGUCCUCCUCCGUGACGGAGGAGGGCAUCCACCAGCCCUGGAGGUUGGAACCGGACAUCAUUGAAGGUCCGAAGUGCUCCAAUCUGGAGCUCUAGGUGCUGCAACUUGGAGCGGGGAGAGGAUUUGAUGGAAGAUUGAAGAAAAGAAACGAGCCUUGGUCCCGUUAUAAAGAGGGAGAAUACCGAGAGCCGUCUCCGUGACCGUUUGGGACUCGCCUUCGAUAGAGGGGGCGUGGCGACGGGCGCGGUUGGGUUACCCACGUCCGUAUUGAUGAGAAUCCCGGAUUAAGGGGGAACACGAUCUCUGCUUCGACAAGACGUGCCAAGGAAACCGCUUCGCUAAAUGCGCUGAGGUGGUAGAGUAAAAAACGAUUCAAGUAAUGGCUUGGUAGUGGCGUGACGUCAUGCCGCAAAAAACGUCAGCAGAUUGAACUUGUGUAUAUAUUAUUCUCUCUACGGUGGAAUGUGGAAUUUAUUUUGCAGAGCCGAACACUAUCCCGGUGUUCACAAUCUUCUAUCAUUCGGAGGAGGAACCCGCCUUGCAAUGCCAAGCAAUAUACGCGCCGGACUUAUCGUCAUUGAAGCCUCGUUCAGGGGCUACUGAGGGAGUCCCGGAUUAGGGGGUGUCCGGAUAGCCGGACUACCAUCAUCGGCCGAACUAUCAUCGGCCGGACUAUCAUCAUCAUCGACCGGACUCCAAGACUAUGAAGAUACAAGAUUGAAGACUUCGUCCCGUGUCUGGAUGGGACUUUCCUUGGCGUGGAAGGCAAGCUUGGCGAUACGGAUAUGUAGAUGUCCUACUAUUGUAACCGACUCUAUGUAACCCUAUCCCUCUCCGGUGUCUAUAUAAACCGGAUGGCUCUAGUCCGUAGGACACAACAACAACCAUUACAAUCAUACCAUAGGCUAGCUUCUAGGGUUUAGCCUCCUUGAUCUCGUGGUAGAUCCACUCUUGUAAACAUCCACAAUAUCAAUAUCAAUCAAGCAGGACGUAGGGUUUUACCUCCAUCAAGAGGGCCCGAACCUGGGUAAAACACCGUGUCCCUUGCCUCCUGUUACCAUCCGCCUAGACGCACAGUUCGGGACCCCCUACCCGAGAUCUGCCGGUUUUGACACCGACACCCUCCUCCUCCGGCCGCCCCCUCCCCCUUCACUCUCCUCCCUCCCUCCCUUGUCUUUGUUCUUGCAAAUCAUAGGUAAUUUAAAAUAGAAGUAAGAAAAUUUAGGGUAGAACUAGGGUAGUAGAAUUUUUAGCAAGUGUUCGAUAGAAAUAGUUUAUUUAGUAAGUGAUUAAUAUAACUAGUUUAUUUAUAUUAAGUGAUUAAUAGAACUAGUUUAUUUAGUAAGUGCUUAACAGAACUAGUUUACUUAUACUAAGUGCUUAAUAGAACUAGUUUAUUUAGUAAGUAGUUAAUAAAACCAGUUUAUUUAGCAAGUGUUUAAAGAAAUAGUUUAUUUAGUAAGUAGUUGUAACUAGUUUACUUUUUUUUCAUAUUUUCAACCAUUGAAAUGCAAUGACCAUCGAUAAGUGGCCUAUGUUUUGUCAGAGUGUUGAUUAAUUUCUGUUCCGGGAAAUUUUAGGCGCUCGAUAUGUCUUUUUUUAGCAAAGGUCAUGCCGGAUUUUUUGGGUUUUGCCGUCGAGUUAUAAUCUUUGAAUUUUGAACACAGGAGAUGUCUGAUGACGAUGGGAUCCCGGAGUGCGGGUACUGCUACGAUGACCGGGGUGUGUGCGACAGGUUUCCUCACCUGCAAAAUGAUAGGUUUUUCACCAUGAAGCUGGAAGAGACCUUUGAUGUUUGUAUGGUACGCAACGACAAGAAUUUCAUCAUAAUUAAUAUCAUCACUUGUGCUUCUUUUGUUUAACGUGUAAUUUAUGGAUUUUUUUUCAAUUCGAUUAGUACAUCCCGUGCCAUGCUAGACCAUAUGUAUUGGAGAAGCUUGGUUUUGGUUUAGAUGACUUUGAGAAUGUGGAGACGAGGAGGGCUCACUUAAGAACUAAACAUGGUUAUGAGUUUCUGGUUAAGUUCUACAAUGCAGUCGAUCGCUCCCAUUUCGGUUGCUCUAAUUGGGAAGCUCUCUGCAAGGCAUAUGGAUUUGAGGAGGGAAUGCAAAUAAGAUUUGAUAUUCGUCCCGAAGAUUAUUAUGAUGAUGAUGAUAAUAUCGACAUCUGGGUGGAUGUGGAUAUGCCUCCAGUUUUACCUAGAUGUGAGUUUGUCAAACUAAUUUGUUCAGUAAUUUAUGUUGUUAAUUUAAAAAUAUUUGGUGUUCGCCCGUACUAAACUUAUUUAUUUAUAAUUGUCAGCUUAUUUCUUAUCUUCAAGAAAUACUCAGAAGGUAGUAGACAGCACAUACUACAGCUAUGACUCCAAGCUUAAUUGUGAGGAGAAAGGUUAUCCUGUCUCAUUCAUAGAAGAUGUUGAGGCCUUCAAAACCAGUCACUCUAUCACCCAAAUUAUACUAGAUAUGUGCCACUAGUCCAUAAACUGCUUCAUGGUAACUUCAUUGCCAAAAACUUGGUAAGAUUUUGUUAAUGAUGCUAACUUCAUUGCAUACAUUAUUAUUAAGUAAACUACAUUGCUAACUAUAUAUGUUACUAUUUUGUUUUGGAACAGAGGCUCCCGAAGCAGGUUGUGCCUGACAUGCUAUUUACCGAAGGUGAUAUGCAUAUGGUUAGCUUACGACUAACUCCUUCGAAGGCUUACCAUACUGCAUACUCGAUUUCUUCAAAUGAUGGAAGGCUCAAAAUCAAAGAAUGGAGAAAAGUGAUGAAUGCGCACACGCAAAUAAUUGGAGACAAAAUGAAUGUGCGCAAGCCACAAGUUGGAGAUAGGUUUAUGUCCAUUCUCCAUUAUGGUGAAGGACCGGUUUAUCUGUUUUAUGGUAUUUUAGCUAGGAGAGAGGAGUAGGUCCUAAGUAUUAAGAACAAUUAGUUAGUGUUGAUUAUAUAUGACUACAAUGUCUUAGACUUGAUGGUGAUGCUGAGUAGGAGUAGUGAUUAUGAGUAAUAUGAUGAUGAGGAGGAGGAGUUGUUAUUAUAACUAGUGACAACAUUGUUAUAUGAUGUCUCAUGGACGAAAAUGAUGAUUAUGAGGAGUUAUAUGACAAUGAUAUAUUAUGAUGAUAAGUUGUUAAUGAUAUUAUGAUGAUGAUAACUUAUUAUGCCAUUGGGUGAAAGAACCGCGGAUUAGUUUCAAAUGGAUGGAUCCAAAGUGACCAUUGGUUACUUUGGAUCCAUGCACUUGAAACUAAUCCAAGGUUCUUUCACCUAGUGAUUUAAUAACUCAUUAUGGUGUAAAAACAAUCUCUAAAUUGCUAUUGUAUGAAAAAUUGGAUGCAGGUGUAUGAAUACGACCUAAAAUUCAGAAGAAAUGGAAUACGGAAUAAUAGUAGUAGCGGUUGUUCUCGAAAGCGCUACUAGUAAUUAGCAGUAGCUAUUGACUAGGGAAGCGCUACUACUAAGUAGAUAUAGUAGUAGCGAGUGCCACUAGGCGCUACUGCUAAGCUUUAGUUGUAGCGCCGUAUCAGUAGCGCGCUUACCUGCGCUACUGAUAGGCCAAAAACCAGCGCUACUGCUAGGCUUUUCCCUAGUAGUGGGAUGCUGAUACGUCUCCAACGUAUUGAUAAUUUAUGAAGUAUUCAUGCCAUGUUUACAAUAAUUUUAUAUGGUUUUAGUAUGAUUUGCAUGGAACUAACUCGGACUAGCGUUGUUUUCUGCAGAACUACCGUGGUAUUGUUUUUUGUGCAGAAAUGGAAGUUCUCCAAAUGACCUGAAACUUUUUGAUGAUCUUUUUGGAACAAAAGAGACCCCCGAAGCUUCGUGGGAGGGCCAAAAGAGCCACGAGGAGGGCACAACCCACCGGGGCAUGCCUGGGCCCUUGCCCGUGCCCCGGUGUAUCGUGCUCACCUCGUGGCCCAUCUGGACGUGAGACCGAUGCCAAAAAAUCCUAUAAAUAGAGAAACCAUCAGAAAUAACCCUAGAUCGGAAGUUCCGCCACCGCAAGCCUAUAUAGCCACCAAAAACCAAUCGGGACCCUGUUCUGGUGCCCUGCUGGAGGGGGGGAUCAUCUUCUGUGGCCAUCUUCGUCAUCCCCGCAGCCACCACGAUGAGGAGAAUAGCUUUGCUGUUAUUUUAGUACAAACUCGAGGAUAGGUUGAUCGGAAAGAAUAGCUUUGAGGUGGUUUCGUACCCUACAAACAAUUUUUAUCUUUUGUUCUUCGCUAAUAGGAACUCGGGAGUGAUUCUUUAUUGCACUUUGAGGGAUAAUCAUAUGAUCCAACUAUGUUAGCAUUGUUGAGAGAUUGCACUAGUGAAAGUAUGCACCCUAGGCCUCAUUUUCCAUUAUUGCAAUACCGUUUGUGCUCUGUUUUACUAUUUACUACCUUGCUAUUUUUAAUGUUCGCACUACAAAACCCAUAUCUACUAUUCAUACUACACUUUUAUCACCAUCUCUUCGCUAAACUAGUGCACCUAUACAAUUUGUCAUUGUAUUGGGUGUGUUGGGGACACAAGAGAUUUCUUGUUUUUGAUUGCAGGGUUGCUUGAGAGAGACUAUCUUCAUCCUACACCUCCCACGGAUUGAUAAACCUUAGGUCAUCCACUUGAGGGAAAAUUUCUACUGUCCUACAAAACUCUGCGCUUGGAGGCCCAACACGAGUCUACAAGAAUAAAGUUGCAUAGUACACAUCAAAAUCCUAUGGUCGUGACGCAGCGGUGGGCUCGGUGAUGAAAUUCGUCAUGUCAUGUUGGUGGUCUCGGUCUCAUUGUACUGGAAUGGAAACCUUUGCCAGAUUCCUCGGGAACCCACGCCUGCGCUCGCCUCCUUAGGAAACUGCCUUCUCUACACCCGCUGGCGCCCGCCUGGCCUCGGUCGUCAUGUCUUGCAUCAUUGCAACCUCAUGAGGUCGUGUACCUGCAUAGAAAUCUCCGCUCCUCAGGAGGCAGCCUAGGCAGGCCGCUCCCUCGGGAGGUCUUGGUGUCGUCCACCUCGCGAGGCUUGGCCCCUCGCGAGGGUCUUGUCUUGAUUGUCUUGUAGAUGGGCCAUACCAGGCCAUCGAAGGAGCCACACCGUGGCCCGUGGGUAGGCAAGUCUGGGUACCCUGGUUCCCAGAACGCCGACAAGGAUAAUGUUGAUCUGCAUGUUGUGAUGGCUUAGAUUCCUGAAAGGGUGGAUGAUUCCAUGAAUGGACGAUUAUGCUCACCGGUUACAAAUGAGGAGAUUGAAGCCGCAUUACUUAUGAUGCAUCCAUAUAAAUCUUUGGGACCGGAUGGACUAACUAUAGGGUUUUAUAUUAAACAUUAGCAUCUUCUCAAAGAUGACAUUUGUAGGGCUGUACGUCAUUUCAUAGAAAGUGGAGAAAUGCCUGAUGAAGUUUAGCACGGUCUUGGUUUUGAUCCCAAAAGUAAAAUCCCCUUAAGACUUAACUCAGUAUAGACCAAUUUCUUCAUGUAAUGUUCUUUACAAAAUCAUGUCCAGUAUGCUUGCUCUUAGACUGCGACCAAUAAUAGAUGAUAUUGUCUCAGAAGAGAAAAGUGUAUUUAUGGCAGGGAGAAUCAUUACAAAUAAUGUGCUUACUACCUACAAAUGUAUCCACUGUCUGAAAGGAAGAAAGGAAAAUUUUGAGCCUAUACGGUCAAACCAGGCAUGGCUAAAGCAUAUGAUAGGGUUGAAUGGUGCUUCUUGAGAGCUAUAAUGCAGGAAUUGGGGUUUGUCGAUAUAUGAGUAAACAUUGUCAUGAAGUGUGUGGAGACAAUAUCCUUCUUUGUUCGUGUUAAUGGAGUCUUUUAUAAAAUAUUUAGACCAUCUCAAGGUCAGACCACGUGACCCACUAUCUCUGUAUCUCUUUUUGAUCUGUGCAGAAGGGCUCUCAUGUAUGAUGAAGUCUCACUGCCCUUGGAUCUUGCACUUCCUAUUCGUGGAUGAUUGCAUUGUUUACACAAGAAACGGCUGAGGAGGUAACUCAGAUUCAAGAGGGUUUAGAAAGGUACAGAGUGGGAUCAGGACAAUUGGUUAACAAAAUAAGUCUCAUGUGUUCUUUAAUGCAAACUCUGAACAUGAGAAGGUUGUUUUUCGCCAAAUCUCUGAUAUUCUAGUGCAGGCCUUUUGGGAAAUAUUUGGGACUCCAAACUUCUUAUUUUUUGCGGGACAAACUUCCAAUCUAUUCAUCUUCAAUCAUGGUAGUACAACAAACACUACAAAUAAUAAAAAUUACAUCCAGAUCGGUAGACCACCUAGCGACGACUACAAGCACUGAAGCGAGCCGAAGGCGCGCCGCUGUCAUCGCCCCUUCCUCACUGGAGCCGGGCAAACCUUGUUGUAGUAGACAGUCGGGAAGUCGUCAUGCUAAGGCCCCGUAGAACCAAUGCACCAGAACAACAACUACCGCAGACAAAUAGUGUAGAUCAAAAGGAUCCAACCUGAAAACACACGAACAUAGACGAACGAUGAACAGAUCUGAGCAAAUCUACCAAAGACAGAUCCGCCAAAGACACAACUCCACACGCCCACCGAUGAUGCAAGACGCAUCACCGGAACGGGGGCUAGGCAGGGAGACCCUUAUUCCAUCUUCAAGGAGCCGCCACCGUCUCGCCUUCCUGAGCAGGACACAAACCCUAACAAAGCUUGAAAAAAGAUCUAAAAACGGAGCCCUCCCACCGGCGAGGGCCGAGAUCCACUCCGCCUCCAUGGCCAUAGGGCCACCGGAGACGGGAUGGACCGGCACCGGCGCCGGUGGGAGGCGGCGGCUAGCUCCACUGCUUGUGUUUAUUUUUUGACAUGCACUAGGAAGAUCCAUGGAUUAAUAAUGUUAACAUAUUCUCGUGAGGAUUAAGAAACUUGUGAAAGGUUGGGCACCAAAGCUUAUGAACAGUGCUGGCCGGGAGGUACUUAUUAAAUAUAUAUGUGAAGAAAUCCCAACGUACUCUAUGAGUUUCUUCUGACUAUCCAAAAACAAGUGUCAAAAAAUCAUAAAUAUUAUCGCAAGAUACUGGUGAGGAGUAGAUGGGGAUAAGAAAAAAACGCAUUGGAAAAGGUGGCCUGACUUGGCGGUCCCAAAAUCUGAUGGGGGUAUGGGUUUCAAAGACAUGGAGCUGUUCAAUAAAGUAAUGAUUGCCAAGAAGGCUUGAUGGCUAGUGGCCUAUCCAUAAUCCCUAUUAGAGGCUAGGGCACCACCUGGUAGCACCUCCUGAGGCGGGCCUAUGCGCACUUACCUUGUAUUCACACAUUCAGCUUCAAUGUUUGGUUCUCAGUUUCAUUCAUGUACAUUAAUAUGGGUGUAUGCUACAAUAUUAGGAUCUCUUGCUCUCUUAGAUAUAGCCAUAUGAAAUAUUCAUUACAACGAUUCCUUGAUGGAUUUGGCAACUCAAGAGUGGAGCAGGAAAACAACUUGGUUUAAUAUUAACUAUUUGUUGGUUUGAAGCCUACCCAAAUUGCUUUCAUGCCGGACAGGAACAUCCUUGAAGGGGUUGUGGUCCUUCAUGAAACGCUCCAUGAGAUCCACACGAAAAAACUGGAUGGGGUUAUUUUCAAAGUGGAUUUCAAGAAAGCGUAUGACAAAGUCAAAUGGCCCUUCCUUCAACAGGCCUUGCGCAUGAAGGGAUUCGAUGAAGCUUGGCGACGCCAGGUAGAGUCCUUCACGCAAAAAGGUAGUGUUGGAAUUUAAGUGAAUGACAAUAUAGGUCAUUAUUUCCAGACACACAAAGGCCUGAGACAAGGUGAUCCGACGUCUUCUAUUUUGUUCAACAUUGUGGCGGAUAUGUUGGCAAUUCUUAUAGGAAGGGCAAAGGAGGCCGGUCAGGUGGGUGGCUUGGUGCCUCAUCUGGUAGAUGGGGGUGUCUCUAUUCUGCAAUACGCUGAUGAUACAAUCAUCUUUAUGGAGCAUGACUUGGUAAAAGCGAGAAAUAUGAAGCUGGUGUUAUGCUUAUUUGAACAAUUGUCCGGAUUAAAGAUUAACCUUCACAAAAGCGAGUUGUUCUACUUUUGUAGAGCCAAGGAGGAACAAGAGGCUUAUAGGCAAUUGUUCGGAUGUGAAUUAGGGGCUUUACCUUUUACGUACCUAGGUAUACCCAUUCACCAUCGUAAGCUAACAAACAGAGAGUGGAAGUGCGUCGAGGAUCAGUUUGAGAAAAAACUCAGUUGUUGGAAGGGCAAACUCAUGUCUUAUGGAGGCCGACUGAUUCUUAUCAAUUCAGUGCUCACGAGUAUGCCGAUGUUCCUUCUAUCGUUCUUCCAAGUUCCAGUCGGGGUUUGGAAAAGGAUGGACUUUUAUCGAUCAAGAUUCUUUUGGUGGAGUGAUGAUCUUAAGAGAAAGUACCGUCUAGCCAAAUGGGAUGUAAUCUGUCGACCAAAGGACCAAGGGGGUCUGGGUGUUGAGAAUCUUGAGGUAAAGAACAAAUGCCUUCUCAGUAAGUGGCUGUAUAAGUUAUCUGUUGAGAUGGACGCAACGUGGGCACAGAUUCUUCGUAACAAGUAUCUGCAUUCCAAGACUUUGUCACAGGUGACUGUGAGACAAACGGACUCACCGUUUUGGAAGGGGCUUAUGAGAGUUAAGGCUGCCUUCUUUAAUAGAACAAAGUUUAUCGUCGGUAAUGGUAACAAUACCCAUUUCUGGGAGGAUACUUGGCUUGGUGAUACGCCAUUGGCGUUACAGUACCCGUCCCUGUAUCAUAUUGUUCAACGACGUGACACGCUGGUUGCACUGAUUAUGCAGUCUGUUCCCCUUAAUAUCCAGUUUCGGAGGGUGCUUAUUGGUGAUAGGUGGGAAGCUUGGCUUCAUUUGGUGACUAGAUUGAUGGAGAUUCAAUUAGAUCAUCAACCCGAUCAAUUGUGUUGGAAACUUACUAGGACUGGAGUGUUUACGGUUAAGUCGUUGUAUAUCGAUGUCAUUAACUCUAGUGUCCUUCCUAGUUCCAAACAUGUUUGGAAAGUUAAAGUUCCUUUGAAGAUUAAAGUGUUUAUGUGGUUUGUACAUAAACAAGUCAUUUUAACAAAGGACAACUUGGUUAAGCGCAAUUGGACAGGCUCUACUAGGUGUAGCUUCUGUGAUCGGGACGAGACCAUUAAGCAUCUCUUCUUUGAGUGCCCGUUGGCGAGAGUCUUGUGGCGCACGGUGCAAAUUUCCUUUAACAUUACUCCCCCGGACUCGGUAGGUUCGUUGUUUGGAACGUGGCUUGCUGGGAUAGAGUCCAAUACCGCUGGACACAUUCGUGUUGGAGUAUGUGCGUUGUUAUGGGCAAUUUGGAAUUGCAGGAAUUAUUUGGCUUUUAAUAGAACAACAACUAUUCAUUUUUUGCAGGUUUUAUUCCGCGCUACGGCGCUGAUCCGUUUGUGGUCCUUACUCACUCUGAUGGCGGCCAGGGAGCGUUUGGUUACUGGGUCUGUCCGGUGGGAGAUGGUUGCGCGGGAUAUUUUCAACCGGUUUGGAUGGUGGUCAUGUAAUAGGAUAGGCGAUUAGUUUUCCUAUCUUUAUUCUGCCAGCCGGUUGUGGCUCUGUGGCUUUUUGUCUAUUUGUGUUGAGGCUCUGUGUGAGCUUCCCUUUAUUUUCUUUUCCAGACUUUGAGAUAUUGUCGAACCUAUUUAUUUAUAAUUCUGGCCAUAUGCAUCGCUCUGAUGCAGAGGCCGGGGAGCCCCCCCUUUUUCAAAAAAAAAAUUAACCAUACAAACGAAGAGAAAAGAUGAGAAACAUAAGUAGACAUUCCAUAUUUUUUUUAAUGAGCAUUUUCUGGAAGUAAGAGCUAAGUUGCCCACAUUCAUAGCCAUCAUCUCAUCCCGAGCAAUCUAUAAAAGCAUUAUUAAGAUGUAGUUAGAAGAAAAUAAUCAUAAGCAUGUGCAAACCAAAAUAUCAAUUGGAAUAUCUUUUAACGAAACUAUAUCAAGACUAUGCCCUAUCUACCUUUUAUGGCAUUUUAUCUAGAUUCUUAUGGAGACACUCAGUGUGUAGUACAACCUAAUUAACUUCGCCUAACAGAAGCCUUGUUUCUUGCUAUAACUUGCCGCUGGCCACCAGGUUCAUAUAGCAUAAUAAUGGAAGAAAAGAAACCAGUAGUCCGGUCAACAUAGCUUAUGAACUGCAACUAAUAGGUGUAAUCCCAACAAGUAUUAAAAUGUGAUUUAUAGUUUUAUCGAUGUUUUGUGACCUAAAUAACUCAAAAUGUGAGUUAUAUGCCACAAAGAGCAUGCCAUUGGAUGCAUAUUUCAAUGAACUUUCCAAUGAUAUAUUUUUGAUGACGUAUAACUCACAUAUUAACAAUGAACAUAGAAGAAACCACCACUAGAUCCUGAGCAGGUUUAGCCAUGAGGUUACACAAACAUUGCAACACCAAAGUACUUGCGUAAAAAUGAACAGCCAAAAGAAACAUAGCUCGACUUCACAGAGGCUGCAGAAAACAUCCCCUCUUCACCGUCUUGCUGCUCGGAGGACUACUCUUGGCAGCAUGAAAAAACAAAAGAGGGCACAAUAUAAGAAGAAAUGCAGACUCCUCUAUCAAGAACAAUUAGUGUGAUGAACAUGCUUAUGUCAUCUAAGUCUGCCUAGGAAGACCGUGCGACUGCAAAACAUAUCGCAAUGUACAUGAGAAUAAAACUUAACAUAGAAUCAUAAAACUUCAAAAUAUUAUGAGCACGGCAAUGCUAAACCUUUUAUGUGUAUAGAUUGAUUAUAUUAUCAGAAGAAAAUAAAUGGCUGAUGAAUUUAUAAUUUUGGUAUUUGGGGAACUCAAAAACAAAAAAAAAUGUAAUGGUAGGAUAUUAGAUUAACAAUGUAGGAGUAAUCUCGAUGUGGCAUUAGUAGGCCUCCUUAGGAGAAGAAACUACCCUUGGUAUCAUUCAGAUAUGGGAGACAACCGAGUCUGAUUUGAAAUCGGAAGCAAAAGUGAAUCUAACUCACCUCGACAACAAUUGUAUGAUCCAUCCACAUCUCAAAAACUAUAGCAACACGAGAAGCCGGCACAAGUUGAUCCUAUGCCCUCGAAGAUACAUUUCCAUCAGUGAAUAUCGCUUUGCGACACACACUCAGACAUCCAAUAGAUUGAACGUGCAUGUAGAAUCAUAAUUGCAGACUGGAGGUUAUCCACUUCCAAUGAAGAGUAAUGUAAGGUCACAUUUUUGGUACAGAAAAGAUUCCCACAAAUAUAAUAUCAGACAGUUCAUCUACAACUUCAGUAACAAAAUCUCUAAUAGCUAAAUAUAAUAACAACACUAUUACUUGCAGUGGCCAAUAAGAAACUCAUAAUUCUAAUAACGUUAAAAACGAAGCAGAGCUUGCAGCUGGACUCAAAUUCUUUGCUCAGAAAUGAUGAUUUGCAACUAUUGCUCAAUUCCAUGAAACACAAUGUUACUAAUCAAUAAAAAGUAUCCAUUGCAGUCCACAACGCUUUGCAGAGGACAAUUCAUGGUCAUCAGUAACACUAGAAUAUUAUAGAUGAACAACGCAAGAGAAACAAAAUGAAUAAGCUCGUUGUUAUAUUGCACCAUUUAAAUUAUCUGCUUCCUUUCACAGAAUAUACAUUUGUAAGUGGUACUAUACAACAUAGAGAGAACUAUCCUUGGUCCUAUGCAAAUAUAAGUGAAUGUGAAAUCUGAUCUGCAGUAGAAUAGAAUUCAGUUAUCACCUCAACCCAUCUUGGAAGCAACUACAAUCACAAAUAACAAUUCCUUGAGGUGUUUUUAAAGUUGUAUAAUUUGCAUUAGGCAAUCAUGUGAGUCUACUAUAAAAUAAGAAAAAUUCAGCAACAUAGUUAACAAGCCUAGUUAGAGACUUGAUAACAGAAGAAAUAUUUUCAACAAAGUUCAGGUAAUCAAAGUAUGUUCAGGAAUUUGUCACUAAAGUGACAAUGCGAUGCCAUCUCACAUUCAUAUUUACAGCAGGUUGGGUCUAGAACGUGGAAGUUCAAGGGGGGUCUAAAUCGUGUAAGGUUGCCUACUGUCGGGCUAAAAAUGAAAUAAAAAAUAUGGUGUUUAGCAAGCAUGUAGAUUAAAGAAUAUGCAACUUCAUAUCCCAAUAAAACUGUUGAGUUCCUUACUGAAACAUUAAAAGACCUAACAGGACAGUCACCACUAUAAAACAUUGGAAUAUAUCAUUUGUUUUAUAGUGAUUACCCCUUUUUCUCGAGUAGCUAUGGGCACCUCUCCCAGGUUGAACCUCCUUACUAAAAUCAUUCCUUACCUUAGCCUUUGUACCUUCCAGGAAAAUAGACUAAUAAUAUGAUUACUCGGAAUUAAAGAUAUUAUUAGGGGGUUAUUGCAAUACGAAGCUAAUAAUGAUACACAAAAAGACUGGAUUCAUCUUACUAAAGUUGGGCUAUGAGUGUAACGUGAAUGAACCCGGGUUGUGGGACAUGGAUGUAUCGGUGCCAGUGGUCGGAGCUAUUUUAGGCGAUCUGCCAAACCCGUUAUCAUAAUAAAGCUAUGCUUUAACCCUAAAAAUAAGUAUGGGAAGCUCGCGCUCGUCCCAUAUCUUUGUCGGGAUGGUAAACAGAAUAAGUAAAUGAUUACUUAAGCAAUUCACUACUUGCUCCAGCGCCCACUGCCUAAAAGAUCGCAGCUUCUCAUCUAAAUCAUGCCAACAGCCACAUCUAUAUUUUUUUAUGCAUUUUGGUAUGAUUGAAGAAAACGCUCAUGGUAGUAUAAGAUCCCUUCCGGCCUCUUGCUCCAAUAAAACACACAUUGUAAUUAAAACAACAAUGACUUCCGCAGAGCAACGUAGAAAUGAAUAUAUAGGCCAGUAAGUCCAAAAAAUAACCAAAUACAAGGAUCUUAGUCAUUUUUCUACCUGCAACAGAAUGUGGUGACCUUGGUCUCCAUGAUCCUUGACAUCACAGCCAUGGAGACAGAAACAAUCAGCUACUCGACAAAAUGAAGGUAGUGGUCUGACGUCGAGAAAGAGAGGAGGGUCCGUAACACAUGCCUUCUUAAAUUUCAUCAAGGUUUUAUCGGUACAAUAUAACAUAGAUCAUGAAUAUAAUCCAAAUAGGCAACCAGUAGCAUGUGGGACGGAAAUAACUAUUGGCACAUGACAGCUAGAGCAGCAAAGAAGAAACAUGGCUUAUUUGCUUACCUAUUUUGAAUUACUUUCACUCAAAUCUGUAAGAACGCAACUUUUUUAACCCCUGGAGACACCCUUGUAAUCGACGACCACAUGAGUCCUGCCAUAAUGCCAUUAAUUAGAUUAUGCCAUGACCUGCUGUAACACAUAGGGGAAAUAAUAUUCAUACUUGAACAUGACUGAGAGGCUGAAGAGGGAUUAGUUAAAAUAGCAAUCUAAUCCAGUGGCUAUUUUAGGCAUUGCCACAACAACCUGCAUUUCAUCAAACAGGUAGUGUGCAUUUAAUUCAUAUUUCUCUGACUUCCAAAUCGAAUCGAAUCAAAUCCAACACACACACACACACACACACACACACACAAAGACAUAGAAGAGAAGGGGAGGGCACCUUGUCCAUGGCUGCAUCACCAAGGCUAGAGCAUCUUGUCCAUGGUGUCCUCAAGAGGAACCAGGGUUGUGGGCGUGCCGAAUCUGAGCCUGCGUUGGAUCCGGACCUGUUGCUCGACUUGGGGAGAGGGGGAGGGGAGGAGGUCAUCGAUGGUGAGGACAAGGUAAAGGAAGGAUAGAUGGGGUGGGAGCAUCAGCCGUGAGGGAGGGUGUAGGUGGUGGCAGCGGCUAUGGGAAGGUUGCCAGUGGCAGCGACGGCGGAAGAGGAGGAGGAGGGAGAGGAAUCGAGGGAUGGGAAGCAGCGGCUGGGCAAUGUCUUUCUCUGUUUUUUUCACUUUCUACUGGAUGAGACGAACGACAUGGUGACCCAGUGGGGCAGCGAAGGAAGCAAAUCACCAAUCGUUUUUGGCCGGUAGCUAAUCCGACGUGUACAUGGCGAGAAGGCGCCAUUGACGCGUAGCUUAAUGGGUUUGAUGUGCUCAAACUCUAAGAGGGAAGUACUACCAUGACACACAUUUUCUGGAAGCCACAAAAAAAGGAAUUCCUCUCACACUUGGCGUGCUAUCCUGUAUGGGAGGGUGGUCGUCGGCCAUGGUCUCAUUAAAAGAAUUGGGGGAUGGUGUGGAUACUCGGAUUUGGGAGGAUCCUUGUAUUCCUAGAAACUUGAACUACAAACCCAUUGUGUCGGUGGGAAUGACACCUAUGGGAUCACGGGAAUCCCUACAACGGUUGCGGGGCACAGGGUCGCGAGAAGAGCGGGAUUAGCAAUCAGCACAAGCACACGGGUUGUUUACCCAGGUUUGGGCCGCGAGGAUGCGUAAUACCCUAGUCCUGCUUUUGUGUCUAUUUGAGUGUUCUUGGAGUUCUUGAGCUAGCUACGAUGAGUGUAACUUGUCCAUGGGUCCGAAUCCUUCUCCUGGAUGCCUCGAGCCUCCUUUUAUAGUCAAGGGGGUCGCCACAGUGGCACACAGGAGGUGGCAUCGGUGUACAGUGGCUAAGCUUAUCGCUUAGCCAUUACGGGAGAAGACGCAUUUAAUGUGCCCCUUAGGUGUCCCCCUCACUUUACCAUCGCCACGCCCUGCUUCGACACGCGCCCAGGCCAGCGAGGCGGUCAGCGCCAUGUAGGUGGGCAGGCUACUGAGGUGGCGCGAUGGUAGGGCUUUCACGAAGAUUUGCAUGCCACCACGUAGGCAUGCACUGAGUUGGCCUGGAAGCCUCAUGUCGACACGCAGGUGCCUGCCUAGCUUGUGCGCUGGCAGCUACAUGGGAGUGGCGGUGGAACCUUGGUGAAUGUGGGCCUGGUUGUGGCUCCGCGGAUGACCUUGGCAAGGGCCUUACCGGGGCCCCCAGCAAGGGUCUUGCCGCGGCACCGUGGUCGUCCCCGGCAUGGAUCUUGCCGGAGGUCUCGUGGAUGCCCUCGACAAAGGUUUUGUCGAGGCUCAUCGUCUGCUACGUCUUGAGCUUGCGUUGGUUUUCCUUGAAGACGAAAGGGUGACACAGCAAUAGUAGCAUAAGUAUUUCCCUCGGUUUUUGAGAACCAAGGUAUAAAUCCAGUAGGAGGCUCCUCAAAAGUCCCACGCACCUACACAAACAAACAAAGAACUCGCAACCAAAGCAAUAAAGGGGUUGUCAAUCCCUUCACGGCCACUUGCAAAAGUGAGAUCUGAUAGAGAUAGUAUGAUAAGAUAAAUAUAUUUCUGGUAUUUUAUAAGAUAGAUGCAAAAAGUAAAGAUGCAAAUAAAAGUAGAUUGAAAGCUUAUAUGAUAAAAGAUAGACCCGGGGGCCAUAGGUUUCACUAGAGGCUUCUCUCAAGAUAGCAUAAGUAUUACGGUGGGUGAACAAAUUACUGUCGAGCAAUUGAUAGAAAAGCGAAUAAUUAUGAGAUUAUCUAGGCAUGAUCAUGUAUAUAGGUAUCACGUCCGCGACAAGUAGACCGACUCCUUCCUGCAUCUACUACUAUUACUCCACACAUCGACCGCUAUCCAGCAUGCAUCUAGAGUAUUAAGUUCAUAAGAACAGAGUAACGCAUUAAGAAAGAUGACAUGAUGUAGACGGAUAAACUCAAGCAAUAUGAUAUAAACCCCAUAUUUUUAUCCUCGAUGGCAACAAUACAAUAUGUCCCUUGCAACCCUUUCUGUCACUGGGUAAGGACACCACAAGAUUGAACCCAAAGCUAAGCACUUAUCCCAUGGCAAGAAAGAUCAAUCUAGUAGGCCAAACCAAACUGAUAAUUCGAAGAGACUUGCAAAGAUAACUCAAUCAUACAUAAAAGAAUUCAGAGAAGAUUCAAAUAUUUCUCAUAGAUAAACUUGAUCAUAAACUCACAAUUCAUCGGAUCUCGACAAACACACCGCAAAAAGAGUUUACAUCAAAUAGAUCUCCACAAGAAAGGGGGAGAACAUUGUAUUGAGAUCCAAAAAGAGAGAACAAGUCAUCUAGCUAAUAACUAUGGACCCGAAGGUCUGUGGUAAACUACUCACAACUCAUCGGAGGGGCUAUGGUGUUGAUGUAGAAGCCCUCCAUGAUCGAUUCCCCCUCCAGCGGAGCACCGACGAAGGCUCCAAGAUGGGAUCUCGCGGAUACAGAAGGUUACGGCGGUGGAAAUUGUGUUUCGAUGGCUCCCUGGAUGUUUUCGGGGUACGUAGGUAUAUAUAGGAGGAAGAAGUACGUCGGUGGCCGCUCGUGGGGCCCCAGAGACAGGGGGCGCCUAGGAGGGGUGGGCGCGCCCUCUAUCUCCUGGCCGCCUCAAUUGCUUCUUGACUUGCACUCCAAGUCCUCUGGAUCACGUUCCUUCCAAAAAUCAUGCUCCCGAAGGUUUCAUUCCGUUUGGACUCCGUUUGAUAUUCCUUUUCUUCGAAAUACUGAAAUAGGCAAAAAACAACAAUAUGGGCUGGGCCUCCGAUUAGUAGGUUAGUCCCAAAAAUGAUAUAAAUGUGUAAAAUAAAGCCCAUAAACAACCAAAAGGGGUAAUAUAAUAGCAUGGAACAAUCAAAAAUUAUAGAUACGUUGGAGAUGUAUCAAGCAUCCCCAAGCUUAAUUCCUGCUCUUUCUCGAGUAGGUAAAUGAUAAAAACAGAAUUUUUGAUGUGGAAUGCUACCUAGCAUAAUUCUCAAUGUAAUUUUCUUUAUUGUGGCAUAAAUGUUCAGAUCCAAAUGAUUCAAAAUAAAAGUUCAUAUUGAUAUAAGAAAUAGUAACACUUCAAGCAUACUAAUCAAAGCAAUCAUGUCUUCUCAAAAUAACAUGGCUAAAGAAAGUUCAUCCCUACAAAAUCAUAUAGUUAGGCUAUGCUUCAUUUUCGUCACACAAAGAUGUUCCCAAAUUCUACACCCCCGAUGAUAAGCCAAGCAAUUUUUUCGUACUUAAAUAAUCUCAAACUUUUUCAACCUUCACGCAAUACAUGAGUGUGAGCCAUGGAUAUAGCACUAUGGAUGGAAUAGAAUAUGAUGAUGGGGAUUGUGUGGAGAAGACAAAAAAAGAGAAAGUCUCACAUUGACGAGGAUAAUCAACGGGCUAUGGAGAUGCCCAUCAAUUGAUGUCAACAUGAGGAGUAGGGAUUGCCAUGCAACAGAUGCACUAGAGCUAUAAAUGAAUGCUCAACAAAAGAAAACUAGUGGGUGUGCAUCCAACUUGCUUGCUCACGAAGACCUAGGGCAUUUGAGGAAGCCCAUCGUAGGAAUAUACAAGCCAAGUUCUAUAAUGAAAAAUUCCCACUAGUAUAUGAAAGUGACAACAUAUGAGACUCACUAUAUGAAAAACAUGGUGCUACUUUGAAGCACAAGAUAUGAGACUCACUACAUGAAGAACAUGGUGCUACUUUGAAGCACAAGUGUGGAAAAAAAGAUAGUAACAUUGCCCCUUUUAUUUAUCUUCUUGUUUUUUUUGUUUUUUUUCCUUUUUUUCUUUGGCCUUUCUAUUUUUUCUUUUGGCCUUUCUUUUUUUUCCUUUUUUUUCUUUUUUCUUUUGGGAAAUGCUCUAAUAAUGAUGAUCAUCACACGUUCAUUGAUUACAACAUAUGAAUUACAAGUCGAAACUAGGACAAGAUAUGACUCUAUAUGAAUGCCUCCGGUGGUGUACCGGGAUGGUGCAAUGAAUCAAGAGUGACAUGUAUGAAAAAUUAUGCAUGGUGGCUUUGCCACAAAUACGAUGCCAACUACAUGAUCAUGCAAUGGCAAUAUGACAAAAGUAAUGUGUGUCAUGAUGAUAAAUGGAAUGGUGGAAAGUUGCAUGGCAAUAUAUCUCGGAAUGGCUAUGGAAAUGCCAUAAUAGGUAGGUAUGGUGGCUGUUUUGAGGAAGAUAUAAGGAGGUUUAUGUGUGAUAGAGCGUAUCGUAUCACGGGGUUUGGAUGCACCGGCGAAGUUUGCACCAACUCUCAAGGUGAGAAAGGGCAAUGCACGGUACCGAAGAGGCUAGCAAUGGUGCAAAGGUAAAAGUGCGUAUAAUCCAUUGACUCAACAUUAGUCAAAAGAACUCAUAUACUUAUUGCAAAAAUUUAGAAGUCAUCAAAAAUCAAGCACUACGCGCAUGCUCCUAGAGGGAUAGAUUGGUAAGAAAAGACCAUCGCUCGUCCCCGACCACCACUCAUAAGGAUGCACAAGCCAGGUACACUUCAUGUUUCAAAUUUGUUACACAACUUUAACCAUACGUGCAUGCUACGGGACUCGCUAACUUAAAAACAAGCAUUCUUUAAAUUCAUAAUUACCCACCUAGCAUGACUUUAAUAUUACUACCUCCAUAUCUCAAAACAAUUAUCAAGUAUCAAAUUGAUCAUAGCAUCUAAUUCACUUCCUAUGUAGUUUUUAUUAUACCCAACUUGGAUGCCUACCAUUCUAGGACCAAUUUAUAACCAUAGCAAAUAUCAUGUUGUUCUAAAAGACUCUCAAAAUAAUAUAAGUGAAGCAUGAGAGACUAGCAAUUUCUAUAAAAUUAAGCCGCCAUCGUGCUCUAAAAGAUAUAAGUGAAGCACUAGAGCAAAAACUAUUUAGCUCAAAAGAUAUAAGUGAAGCACAUAGCAAAUUCUAAUAAAUUCAAUCAAGUGGGCUUCUCCCAAAAGGUGUGUGCAGCAAGGAUUAUUGUGGUAAACUAAAAAGCAAAGACUAAUAUAAUACACGACGCUCCAAGCAAAAUACAUAUCAUGUGGCAAAUAAAAAUAUAGCUCCAAGUAAAGUUACCAAUGAACAAAGACGAAAGAUGGAAUAGUUGGGGAACGUAGUAAUUUCAAAAAAAAAAUCCUACGCACACGCAAGAUCAUGGUGAUGCAUAGCAACGAGAGGGGAGAGUGUGUCCACGUACCCUCGUAGACCGAAAGCGGAAGCGUUAUGACAACGCGGUUGAUGUAGUCGUACGUCUUCACGAUCCGACCGAUCCAAGUACCGAACGUACGGCACCUACGAGUUCAGCACACGUUCAACUCGAUGAAGAUCCCCAGACUCCGAUCCAGCAGGGUGUCGGGGAUGAGUUCCGUCAGCACGACGGCGUGGUGACGAUGAUGAUGUUCUACCGACGCAGGGCUUCGCCUAAGCACCGCAACGAUAUGACCGAGGUGGAAUAUGGUGGAGGGGGACACCGCACAUGGCUAAGAGAUCUCAAGGAUCAAUUGUUGUUGUCCCUAGAGGUGCCCCCUGCCCCCGUAUAUAAAGGAGGAGAGGAGGGGGAGAGGGUCGGCCCCUAUGGCGUGCCCUAGAGGAAUCCUACUCCCAUCGGGAGUAGGAUUCCCCCCUUCCAAGUAGUAGGAGUAGGAGUCAAGGAAGGGGGAGAGGGUCGGCCCCUAUGGCGUGCCCUAGAGGAAUCCUACUCCCAUCGGGAGUAGGAUUCCCCCCUUCCAAGUAGUAGGAGUAGGAGUCAAGGAAGGGGGAGAGGGAAGGGAAGGAAGGAGGGGGCGCAGCCCUUCCCCCUAGUCCAAUUCGGACUAGGCCUUGGGGGGGCGCGCGGCCUGCCCUAGGCAGCCCAUCUCUCUUUCCCGUAUAGCCCAAUAAGGCCCAAUACUUCUCCCCGGCGAAUUCCCGUAACUCUCCGGUACUCCGAAAAAUACCCGAAUCACUCGGAACCUUUCCGAAGUCCGAAUAUAGUCGUCCAAUAUAUCGAUCUUUACGUCUCAACCAUUUCGAGACUCCUCGUCAUAUCCCGGAUCUCAUCCGGCACUCCGUACUCCUUCGGUACAUCAAAACUCAUAAACUCAUAAUAUAACUGUCAUCGAAACCUUAAGCGUGCGGAUCCUACGGGUUCGAGAACAAUGUAGACAUCACCGAGACACGUCUCCGGUCAAUAACCAAUAGCGGAACCUGGAUGCUCAUAUUGGCUCCCACAUAUUCUACGAAGAUCUUUAUCGGUCAGACCGCAUAACAACAUACGUUGUUCCCUUUGUCAUCGGUAUGUUACUUGCCCGAGAUUCGAUCGUCAGUAUCUCAAUACCAAGUUCAAUCUCGUUACCGGCAAGUCUCUUUACUCGUUCUGUAAUACAUCAUCUCACAACUAACUCAUUAGUUGUAAUGCUUUUAAGUCUUAAGUGAUGUGCAUUACCGAGGAGGGCCCAGAGAUACCUCUCCGACAAUCGGAGUGACAAAUCCUAAUCUCAAAAUACGCCAACCCAACAUGUACCUUUGGAGACACCUGUAGAGCUCCUUUAUAAUCACCCAGUUACGUUGUGACGUUUGGUAGCACACAAAGUGUUCCUCCGGUAAACGGGAGUUGCAUAAUCUCAUAGUCAUAGGAACAUGUAUAAGUCAUGAAGAAAGCAAUAGCAACAUACUAAAUGAUCAAGUGUUAAGCUAACGGAAUGGGUCAAGUCAAUCACAUCAUUCUCCUAAUGAUGUGAUUCCGUUAAUCAAAUGACAACUCUUUUGUCCAUGGCUAGGAAACAUAACCAUCUUUGAUAAACGAGCUAGUCAAGUAGAGGCAUACUAGUGACACUAUGUUUGUCUAUGUAUUCACACAUGUAUUAUGUUUCCAGUUAAUACAAUUCUAGCAUGAAUAAUAAAUAUUUAUCAUGAAAUAAGGAAAUAAAUAAUAACUUUAUUAUUGCCUCUAGGGCAUAUUUCCUUUAGGGAUGCCUUCCCGGGGCAUCCCCAAGCUUAAGAUUUUUGCUACUCUUGAAUAUCUUGGGGUGCCAUGGGUAUCCCCAAGCUUAGGCUUUUGCCACUCCUUAUUCCAUAGUCCAUCAAAUCUUUACCCAAAACUUGAAAACUUCACAAAACAAAACUCAACAGGAAAUCUCAUAAGCUUCGUUAGUGAAAGAAAGCAAAACCACCACAUAAGGUAUUGUAAUGAACUCAUUCUUUAUUUAUUUUGGUGUUAAACCUACUGUAUUCCAAGUUAUCUAUGGUUCAUACCACUUAAUACUAGCCAUAGAUGCAUCAAAAUAUGCAAACAAUACACGAAAAACAGAAUCUGUCAAAAACAGAACAGUCUGUAGCAAUCUGUAACUAACGCAAACUUCGGGAACUCUAAAAAUCCUACCAAAAUAGGAAGUACUCAACAAUUUGUUUAUUGAUCAGAAGCAAAAAUAAUCAAUGCAAAAUCACGUUUCUGUCAUUUAUUGAAUUUUUUCUUGUGAGCGCAAAGUUUCUGUUUUUCAGCAGAAUCAAAUCAACUAUCAUCAUAGGUUAUCCUAUAGGUUCUACUUGGCACAAACACUAAUUAAAACAUAAAAACACAUCUAGACAGAAUAUAGAUGCAAAAUUUAUUACUAAACAGGAACAAAAACAAAGAACACAAAGAAAAUUGGGUUGCCUCCCAACUAGUGCUAUCGUUUAACGCCACUAGCUAGGCAUAAAAGCGAAGAUAGAUCUAAGUAGUGCCAUCUUUGGCACUUGAUUCAUAAGUAGCUCGCAUGGUAGAUUCAUGAGGUAAUUUAACUUUCUUUCUUGGAAAGUGUUCCAUGCCUUUCUUUAAUGGACAUUGGAAUCUAAUAUUCCCUUCCUUCAUAUCAAUAAUCGCACCAAUCGUUCUAAGGAAAGGUCUACCAAGAAUAAUAGGGCAAGAAAGAUUGCAAUCUAUAUCAAGAACGAUAAAAUCUACGGGCACCAAAUUUCUAUUUGCAACAAUGAGGGCAUCAUUGAUCCUUCCCAUUGGCUUUUUAAUGGUGGAAUUCGCAAGGUGCAAAUUUAAAGAGCAAUCAUCAAGAUCAUGGAAACCUAGAAUAUCACAUAAAGUUUUCAGAAUCGUGGAAACACUAGCACCCAAGUCACACAAAGCAAAACACUCAUGAUCUUUAAUUUUAAUAUUUAUAGUAGUUUCCACUCAUCAUUAAGUUUUCUAGGUAUUGAAACUUCCAAAUUAAGUUUUUCAUCAAAAGAUUGCAUCAAGACAUCAAUGAUAUGUUUGGUAAAAGCUUUAUUUUGACUAUAAGCAUGAGGAGAAUUAACAACGGAUUGCAACAAGGAAAUACAACUUUCUAAAGAACAAUUAUCAUAAUCAAAUUCCUUGAAAUCCGAGAUAGUGGGUUCAAUACUAUUUAAAGUCAUGACCUCUCUAAUCCCACUUUUACCAAAUUUAGCAUCAAGAUCUAAAAACUCUGAAUUCUUGGGACGCCUUCUAACUAAGGUUGACUCAUCUCCAGUCCCAUUAUUAUCAAGAUUCAUAUUGCAAAACAAAGAUCUAAUAGGAGACACAUUAAUAACUUUAAUAUAUUCAUCAUUAUUUUCAUGGAAACUAGAAGAACACGCCUUUACAAAAGCAAUCUUUCUUAGCACGCAAUCUAGCGGUUAUUUCCUUGCACUCAUCAAUGGAAUUUCUCAUGGCUUUGAGAGACUCAUUGAUAUCAUGCUUAGGAGGAGUAGAUCUAAGUUUAAGAGAAUUAACAUCAAGCGAAAGUCUAUCAACGUUCCUAGCAAAAUCAUCAACUUUGAGCAAUUUUUCUUCAGGUAAAGCAUUAAAAUUCUUUUGAGACAUCAUAAAUUCUUUCACACUAUUCUCAAAAUCAGAGGGCAUCUUAUUAAAAUUGCCAUAAGAAUUAUUGUAGGAAUUUUCAUAAUUAUUAGAGGAAUUACUAGGGAACAGUCUAGGAUUAAAGUUUCCUCUAUAAGCAUUGUUUCCAAAACUAUUCCUACCAACAAAAUUCACAUCCAUAGAUUCAUUGUUACUCUCAAUCAAAGUAGACAAAGACAUAUCAUUGGGAUCAAGAGGAGUAUUUUUAAUAGCAAACAACUUCAUAAGUUCAUCCAUCUUUCCACUCAAAACAUUGAUUUCUUCUAUAGCAUGCACUUUUUUACUAGAAGAUAUUUCGAUGUGCCAUUGAGAAUAAUUAGCCAUAAUAUCAUCAAGAAGUUUUGUAGCAUCUCCUAACGUGAUUUCCAUAAACGUGCCUCCCGCGGCCGAAUCUAAAAGAUUUCUAGAAGCAAAGUACAAGCCGGCAUAAAAAAUUUGUAUGAUCAUCCAUAAAUUCAAACCAUGAGUAGGGCAAUUGUGAAUCAUCAAUUUCAUUCUUUCCCAAGAUUGGGCAACAUGCUCAUGAUCAAGUUGUUUAAAAUUCAUAAUAUCGUUCCUAAGAGUGAUAAUCUUAGCGGGAGGGAAAUACUUAGAGAUAAAAUCAUCUUUGCACUUGUUCCAAGAAUUAAUACUAUUUUUAGGCAAAGACGAAAACCAAACUUUAGCACGAUCUCUAAGUGAAAACGGAAAUAACUUCAAUUUAACAAUAUCAUUAUCCGUAUCUUUCUUCUUUUGCAUAUCACACAAAUCAACAAAGUUGUUUAGAUGAGUAGCGAGAUCUUCACUAGGAAGGCCGGCGAAUUGAUCUUUCAUAACAAGAUUCAGCAAAGCAGUAUUGAUUCACAAGACUCAACAUCAUUAAGAGGAGCAAUCGGAGUACUAAGGAAAUCAUUAUUAUUGGUAUUGGAGAAAUCAAACAAUUUGGUAUUAUCUUGCGCCAUGUCAACAAGUAAUCCAACACACAAGCAAACAGAAAAAAAGGCAAGCAAAAGAGAGAGAGAGAGAGAGAGAGAGAGAGAGAGAGAGAGAGAUUGGGAAAGAGAGGGCAAAUAAAAUGGCAAGGGUGAAGUGGGGGAGAGGAAAACGAGAGGCAAAUGGCAAAUAAUGUAAAUGUGAGGGAGAUGAGUUUGUGAUGGGUACUUGGUAUGUAUUGACUUGAGCGAAGACCUUCCCGGCAACGGCGCCAGAAAUCGCACGUUGGCGGGAGGUCGAAUCUUGACUUGACUUGGUGGAAGCCUCCUCGGCAACGGCGCCAGAAAUCCUUCUUGCUACGUAUUGAGCUUGCGUUGGUUUUCCUUGAAGAGGAAAGGGUGAUGCAGCAAUAGUAGCGUAAGUAUUUCCCUCAGUUUUUGAGAACCAAGGUAUCAAUCCAGUAGGAGGCUCCUCAAAAGUCCCACGCACCUACACAAACAAACAAAGAACUCGCAACCAACACAAUAAAGGGGUUGUCAAUCCCUUCACGACCACUUGCAAAAGUGAGAUCUGAUAGAGAUAGUAUGAUAAGAUAAAUAUAUUUCUGGUAUUUUAUAAGAUAGAUGCAAAUAAAAGUAGAUUGGAAGCUUAUAUGAUAAAAGAUAGACCCGGGGGCCAUAGGUUUCACUAGAGGCUUCUCUCAAGAUAGCAUAAGUAUUACGGUGGGUGAACAAAUUAUUGUCGAGCAAUUGAUAGAAAAGCGAAUAAUUAUGAGAUUAUCUAGGCAUGAUCAUGUAUAUAGGCAUCACGUCCGCGACAAGUAGACCGACUCCUGCCUACAUCUACUACUAUUACUUCACACAUCGACCGCUAUCCAGCAUGCAUCUAGAGUAUUAAGUUCAUAAGAACAGAGUAACGCAUUAAGAAAGAUGACAUGAUGUAGAGGGAUAAACUCAAGCAAUAUGAUAUAAACCCCAUCUUUUUAUCCUCGAUGGCAACAAUACAAUACGUGCAUUGCAACCCUUUCUUUCACUAGGUAAGGACACCGCAAGAUUGAACCCAAAGCUAAGCACUUCUCCCAUGGCAAGAAAGAUCAAUCUAGUAGGCCAAACCAAACUGAUAAUUCGAAGAGACUUGCAAAGAUAACUCAAUCAUACAUAAAAAGAAUUCAAAGAAGAUUCAAAUAUUUCUCAUAGAUAAACUUGAUCAUAAACCCACAAUUCAUCGGAUCUCGACAAACACACCGCAAAAAGAGUUUACAUCAAAUAGAUCUCCACAAGAGAGGGGGAGAACAUUGUAUUGAGAUCCAAAAAGAGAGAAGAAGCCAUCUAGCUAAUAACUAUGGACCCGAAGGUCUGUGGUAAACUACUCAACACUCAUCGGAGGGGCUAUGGUGUUGAUGUAGAAGCCCUCCGUGGUCGAUUCCCCCUCCGGCGGAGCGUCGGCGAAGGCUCCAAGAUGGGAUCUCGCGGAUACAGAAGGUUACGGCGGUGGAAAUUAUGUUUCGGUGGCUCCCUGGAUGUUUUCGGGGUACGUAGGUAUAUAUAGGAGGAAGAAGUACGUCGGUGGCCGCUCGUGGGGCCCAGGAGACAGGGGGCGCGCCCAGGAGGGGUGGGCGCGCCCUGCUAUCUCCUGGCUGCCUCGAUUGCUUCUUGACUUGCACUCCAAGUUCUCUGGAUCACGUUCGUUCCAAAAAUCAUGCUCCCGAAGGUUCCAUUCCGUUUGGACUCCGUUUGAUAUUCCUUUUUUCGAAAUACUAAAAUAGGCAAAAAACAGCAAUACGGGCUGGGCCUCCGGUUAGUAGGUUAGUCCCAAAAAUGAUAUAAAUGUGUAAAAUAAAGCCCAUAAACAUCCAAUACGGGUAAUAUAAUAGCAUGGAACAAUCAAAAAUUACAGAUACGUUGGAGAGGUAUCAUCGUCUUCUAACCCUCAUCCAACUCUGUGUGCUUCUUGUCUUCACAAAGAUCUACAUGCCAUCAUGGAGGCGCCUCCCGGGCCUUGGUUCCAAUGUGGUUGUUGGUAUUGGAAGCUUCAGGCUCGAGGGUGGUGCGCCCCGUCGGGGAUGGGCAAGCUGCCCCGGCAAGGUCCUUGUCGGGGCCGUGGAGGCCGCCCCGGCAAAGGUCUUGCUGGGGAACCCACCUCACCCUCUUGCUCUCCAUGUCUCUGUCUUGGCGCUGCUUUGGCCACCUUGUGUCUUUGUUUCCCUGCCCCUGCCCUGCUUUAAGUAUGGCUGUAGGCGUGCCUCUGACUGCCCGUGCACAGGUAGAGGGGUACAAAGGAGUGCUCCUACUUUAGUACACCGACACAUUGUCAGAUGGGAUAAUUAAUUUUAAGCCCCUAGUUGGGUCACACUCGACAAUUUUACCCCUAGUUUGCAAAAACCCUUGGUUUUGCCCAAGCCACUUCACUCCUCUUAUGCUUUUCCUCUUUGACCAUUUGACCAUCACUUUGAAAACUUCAUAAUAACUUAGAAAAGUGCAAAUAAGAUAUCGAAUUGUUCAAAAAAAACAUUACCUAUAUGUGCAUGUUAUUGCAUUCAUGAAAAAAGUGUUGGAAAGUCCCCAUGUUAGUUCAAGCUCAUAUGAUCUUAGCAUAAACAGUAAAAUCUAAUUUUUUGAAGAAAAAAAUCAAAAACUUCUAUAUUUUUUAUGGUAUGAUGUUUUGAGCUCUUGCCAAGUUUCAUCACGGAAUGACAUUCGUGGAAGCCGUGGAAGAAAGCAAAAUCAAUGAUCCAAAACAAAAGCAUUCUGGAGUGUUGAUUUUGUUUUUGCCACGAUUUCCAUGAAUGUCAACCCCGAUGAAACUCUACAAGAACUCAAUUUUUUUUAAUGUUUGCCACAAGAAAAUUAGAUUUUUUUUUCAUUUUUUUAGUUUCUACAGUUCAGGCUGAGAUCAUACGAGCUCAAACUGAGAUGGGGACUUUGCAACACUUUUUUCAUGAAUGCAAAUAACAUUCACAUAUAGGUGAUUUUUUUCGAACAUUUUCAUAUCUUAUUUGAAGUUUUUCUGAGUUAGUAUGAAUCUUUUAUGAAGUUUUCAAAGUGAUGGUCAAACGGUCAAAGAACAAAAGCAUAAGAGGAGGGAAGCGGCUUGGACAAAACCAGGGGGUUUUGGAACCUAGGGGUAAAACUACCGAGUGUGACCCAACUAGGGGCAGAAAAUUACUUAUCCCUUGUCAGAUUACUGUCGACCACAAGGUUGUAAUUGAGGAGCUCAUUGAUCCUAUAUCAGGUGAUUGGAAUACCGAAGCCCUUGAAUCAAAUUUCCUUCCUGUUGGCAGUGUGAUGAUCAAACUUAUUCCAUUGGGAAGAUUAGAGGAGGAUAUGUGGGCACGACAAUAGGGAAGACAUGGCAAUUUUACUGCCAGAUAUGCUUAUCGUGCCAUCUUGGCAAGGAAACCGAACUCAAUUGCAUCUAGUUUGUCUGCAGCUAGUAAUAGUCACUAGAAACGACUAUGGAAAAUGUUGGUUCCACCUAAGGUUCAUAAUUUUUUGUGGAGGGUAAUCAAGAAAUUUAUCCCAUGUCAUUUUUUCCUUCAUAGUAAACAUAUCAAGCCUACCGAGUUCUAUCAUUCUUGUGGAAGAGCAGAGACCAUUGCCCACACACUAUUCGAAUGCACCUGGGCAAAGGUUUUCUAGGAUCAAAUUAUGUAUAUGACAGUGGUAAAACUGCCACAGGUGGGACCUGCCUGGGCUAUUGAUAUGCAUCAUGAUGAUUUGGUUAAAACAAAGAAGGCACCCUUCAUUCUAUGUGGAUCCUGGUCAUUUUGGUCUUCCCAGAACGCAGUUGAACAUGGCGAAAGGGAACCAUUGGUUGCUAGCUCAGUCAAGUUUUUUUUUGAAAAGGAGGAUUACCCCUGGCCUCUUCAUCGAGCGAUGCACACGUUCAUUUUUAUUGCAUUAUUCAACAAGGCCUUACAAAAAAAUGCAUAGAUAAACCCAAAGACACCUUCCUGGUGAAAAUUGUUGCCCUACCUACAAGAUUGAUGAUUUGCCUAACCACACAUUACACACACCAAGAAAUCCGAUGCCUCACCAAGCCUCCCGCUGGCUACCCAGGAGCAUCAACCGGUCUAGCAAACCCUCAACAUGCAUCGCACGUGCAUGUGUGCAUGUUGUAGAAUCUUCAUUGCCUUCUUUCGCAGUUCCAUCUUCAGGAGCAAGCAAUGAACUAAUCUUGCAAGACCCUUAUGCCGUCGACGCCACCACGACGCCGGAUAGCACUAGUCUCCUGCUCACGCCUAUCAAGCGGUAUCCAGCGUCGAGACCCUGUUGCACCUAGCUGCCAAGACUCAUCGACGUUGAUGCUGUAGAUGGCAUGCUGCUCCACCUUGGUCACCGCAUGAGAAGCGUACAAAGAUCAUUGAUGUCACAAUGGAUCUUUCAAUUACUGGAAAGGAGAAAAUUACUACAGUUGUCGGUUCACGUGCUCACUAGAGACCACUAUUUGAAUAUGAUGAUGGUUAAUGUUGAUGCAAGGUUCCUUGAAACAGAUCGUACUGUUGGUACAUGAGCGGGUGUUCGUGGCAUGAUGGAGCCUUGGUCCUUGCCCAAGAUCUUUGGGUUCAGCAAGCACCAAGUGCACUGACGCUGGAGGCCUAUGUAGUGAGGGAUGGAGUAAGUCUAGCUUGUGAUAUAAGGAUUCAGAAUUCGGCGAUUGAAAUGAACACUAAAGGUGUUGUUGACCUAUGAAAAAUGUUGAAAAUCUGAGGGCUGCCUCAGCUUCAAGAUGAACUAUAGGAACAUGUCAUGUGGUGGCUCUAGUACCCACACUCUUGAGGACCUUCACAUACUUGGGAAAUCACUCUUGUGAUGGGGUAACUCAGCCCUUUAUCAUUCAUAACUAUAAACUUGGUACAACUCUUUUGUGGUGGAUACCUCUACCUAUGUGACGCCCCCGAUUCAAUCAUACACUAAUCAUGCACGCAAAUGUGUACGAUCAAGAUCAGGGACUCACGGGAAGAUAUCACAACACAACUCUAAAACAUAAAAAAGUCAUACAAGCAUCAUAAUACAAGCCAGGGGCCUUGAGGGCUCGAAUACAAGUGCUCGAUCAUAGACGAGUCAGCGGAAGCAACAAUAUCUGAGUAUAGACAUAAGUUAAACAAGUUUGCCAUAAGAUGGCUAGCACAAACUGGGAUACAAUCAAAAGAGGCGCAGGCCUCCUGCCUGGGAUCCUCCUAACUACUCCUAGUCAUCGUCAGCGGGCUGCACGUAGUAGUAGGCACCUCCAGGUAGUAGGAGUCGUCGUCGAAGGUGGCGUCUGGCUCCUGGACUCCAGCAUCUGGUUGCGACAACCAGAAAGAAAGGAAGGGGGGAAAAGGGGGGAGAAAGCAACCGUGAGUACUCAUCCAAAGUACUCGCAAGCAAGGAACUACACUACAUAUGCAUGGGUAUAUGUGUAAGGAGGCCAUAUCAGUGGACUGAAUUGCAGAAUGCCAGAAUAAGAGGGGGAUAGCUAGUCUUAUCGAAGACUACGCUUCUGGCAGCCUCCGUCUUGCAGCAUGUAGAAGAGAGUAGAUUGAAGUCCUCCAAGUAGCAUCUCCAAGUAGCAUCUCCAGUAGCAUCGCAUAGCAUAAUCCUACCCGACGAUCCUCCCCUCGUCGCCCUGUGGAAAAGCGAUCACCGGGUUGUCUGUGGAACUUGGAAGGGUGUGUUUUAUUAAGUAUCCGAUUCUAGUUGUCAUAAGGUCAAGGUACAACUCCAAGUCGUCCUGUUACCGAAGAUCACGGCUAUUCGAAUAGAUUAACUUCCCUGCAGGGGUGCACCACAUAACCCAACACGCUCGAUCCCAUUUGGCCGGACACACUUUCCUGGGUCAUGCCCGGCCUCGGAAGAUCAACACGUCGCAGCCCCACCUAGGCACAACUGACAGGUCAGCACGCCGGUCUAAAUCCUAUGUGCGCAGGGUCUGGGCCCAUCGCCCAUUGCACACCUGCACGUUGCGAGGGCAGCCGGAAGCAGACAUAGCCUCUCUUAUACAAGAGUAGGCGUUCCAGUACAAUCCGGCGCGCGCCGCUCCAUCGCUGACGUCAAGAAGGCUUCGACUGAUACCACGACGUCGAGUGCCCAUAACUGUUCCCGCGUAGUUGGUUAGUGCGUAUAGGCCAGUGGCCAGACUCAGAUAAAAUACCAAGAUCUCGUUAAGCGUGUUAUUAUGAAGCAACCGCGAACGCCUACCAGGGCCAGGCCCACCUCUCUCCUAGGUGGUCUCAACCUGCCCUGUCGCUCCGCCACAUAGCAACAGUCGGGGGCCAUCGGGAACCCAGGCCCACCUCUACCGGGAUGGAGCCACCUGUCCUUUCAGCCCCCUUAUCCGAAUCACUUGCGGGUACUCAACGAGCUGACCCGACUUUAGUCACCAUCUGUAGUAUGUAUAUAUGUAUAGUAUACACCCGUGAUCACCUCCUGAGUGAUCACGGCCCAAUAGUAUAGCAAGGCAGACUGACAAGAAUGUAGGGCCAAUGAUGAUAAACUAGCAUCCUAUACUAAGUAUUUAGGAUUGCAGGUAGGGUAUCAACAGAUGUAGCAACAAUGUCAGGCUAUGCAUCAGAAUAGGAUUAACGGAAAGCAGUAACAUGUUACACUACUCUAAUGCAACCAGUAUAGAGGAGAAUAGGCGAUAUCUGGUGAUCAAGGGGGGGGGCUUGCCUGGUUGCUCUGGCAAGAGAGUGGGGUCGUCAACACCGUAGUCGUACUGGGUAGCAGCGGCGUCGGUCUCGGUGUCUAGCGAGAGAAGAGGGGGAAGAAACAAUAAAUACUUAAGCAAACAGAUGCAUAGCGAUGCAUGACAUGACAAGUAACGGUGCUAGGGGUGCCCUAACACGGUAUGAGGUGAUACCGAUGAAGGGGGGGACAACCGGGAAAGUAUCCCCGGUGUUCCGCGUUUUCAGGCAGAGGAGCCGGAGGGGGAAAGUUGUGAGUUUCAUAUGUUAGGGGUAUGCGGCGGACGAACAGGUUCCGUAUCCGGAUUCUUCUCGUCGUUCUGAGCAACUUUCAUACACAAAGUUUUUUCAUCCGAGUUACGGAUUAAAUAAUAUGAUUUUCUAAAGAUUUAAAUCAUUUUCUGAUUUUAAUUAGUUAUUUAAUUCUAACAUUAUCCAAAACAGUGACUGAUGACGCAGACAUGACAUCAGAGUGAUGUCAGCAGGUCAACUGGUCGGUUGACCAGUCAAACUAGACAGGUGGGUCUAGUGGGACCCACAUGUCAUUGUCAGGGUCGCUAACAGGGGGUUUAGUCUAACUAAAUGGGUUAAUUAGUGGGUGGGCCCCAACAGUCAGUGUCUAACUAGGUUUUAGUUAAUUAACUUAAUUAAUUAGUAGUUUGUAUAUUUGUUUUUAUUUGUUUUAUGGCAUGGGGCCCGCAUGUCAGUGGCAGUAGCUGCCACGUCAACACGUUGACUGGGUCAACCCAGUCAACGGGGCCCCCAGGACCCACUGGUCAGCAACACAGAGGCGGGGGCCACUGCGCCACAUCGGCGUCAGUGCCGGAGCGACUCCGGCGACCCAAACAGAGGCGGCCCCCUCGCCGGGGUUGGCCGGAAUCACGCUACGGGGCUCGGGGAGGAGCGGGGCUAGGCACAUUCCAAGGCCCGCGCCGUGGCGCAUUCAAUGGAGGUGGUGGCUUGGUUGGAGGAGGGCCGCAGCGUCGCCGGUGGUGAGCGGGGCGGACGUCGGCGUUCGGCCGCGAGAGGGAAAAGGCGCUGCGGCACGGCAGCAAGUACCCUAAACGGCCAGGAGGCUUCUACGGACGCGUGCGAGUACACGGCCACGUGCCCGGGACCAAAUGAUCACCAGAUGGCUACCGGCGACGAGCGCGUGCGGCGAUGCGCUCGGGCAAGUUGGGGGCGGCGCGUCCAACUAGCGAACGGCGUCGAGAGAGAGAGGGAAGGGAGCGGGGGCUCACCGGGCGGCAACACGGUGGCCCUUGGCGGCUUAGUAGCUGCAGAGGGCGUCGCCGGAGUUGGGGAGGAGUGACGGCGAGGCGGAGGAAGACGAUGACCUCGUCCACGACGAUGCGACGUCGCGGAGCUCGAAUCGACGGUCGGGGACGACGAGGCGGGCGACGAGGGAGACCAGCGACACGUUGGCGCGGUGCGGGGAGGACGACGGUCGUGGUUAGCACGGCGGCGCAGCCAUGGGCGCGCUCGGGCGCCGCAGAUCUGGAAGGGGGGAAGAGAGUGAGUGGGAGAGCGAGGGGCAAGUGGGGAGGGGAGCCCGAGGGGGCGCAGCGUCGGCGCCCUUAUCCUCUCCGGGGCCUGUAGCGGCGCGGGGCGGCGAGCUGGUCCGUCGGCGAUAGCGGGCGCGGUCGGAUGAACAGUGGGGGCGUGGGGAGAAGGUGACAACGGUGGGGAGGUGGCAGCUGGGCCACCUGGGUCGGCCGGGUGCGAUGGAAUGGGCCGAAGCCCAGGGGAAGCCGGGGGUCUUUCUCUUCUUCUUCUUUUUUCUGCUUGCUUUUCCCUUUUGUAUUUUCUUUCUUUUAUUUAUUUUCUUUCUAUUUUAUUUCAUUUUAGGGCAUUUAGGUAUUUUGUAAAAUUGUGCCCACUACACCAUAAUUACUUAUGCAAUAUUUGGCAACCCCCGAACAUUUUUGUUUUGACCUUUGAAAACUUUUGUCGUUUGACUUGUUUAGAAUUUUAAAUUUCAAACGGUUCGAACUAACGCGAAACUAACAACAGUAAUCGUGGUGACGUGGCAUCCUUAGUAGAUGGUUACUGUAGCUUAAUUAUCCGGGCGUCACAAUUCUCCUCCACUACAAGAAAUCUCGUCCCGAGAUUUAGGAGGGGAGUAAGGGGAAGAGAUUGGUUACGAAAUUCUAACGGAUCUUCUCGAUGUUGGUUGCUCUUCUCGAAGAGGUCAAUCCAAUAUAUUGAUGCCUUCAUACUUCUGCUUCAGGUCAAAAUGAUGAAGUCGUCAUCCUGUCUUCGGGAUCUUCAUCGUACUUACGGAAGGAUAUGGGGGAAGGCUCGAGAAGGGUGGGCCUUACCAGGUUGACUAUCUGGUAGAUAACAUCGGGGAAGGUUGCGGAAAGUAACUCUCGGAUUGAACUUAAGAAGAAAUCGAGAGCAAGUAAGAAGGUACCAAGAGAAGUUUCAAGCGGGCAGGCAAUCGUUUGAUGCCUGAAACAGGGCGUGAAAGGUGUUCAGAGCAACGAGAAUAAGUAUUGCGUCUGAUACCAGAAUAGGUCACUAGGAAGGCGGCUCGUGAAUUACAUACGAUGUCACGUGCGAGGAACAACCUUGAGAACAGGGGGUGUACAGGAGAGUCAGGUUUCGAUCCUGUGGAACUGUGGGUUAUGGGCCCACCAUGUGGUUGAAAGCAGGAAGGGGGCCGACAUCUUGCACGGUCACGAUAGUAAGGCGUGUCAGAGGGUAGCCUGUUAAUUAUGUCGGCAACAACAUCGAUACCAAGGGCGAGGGACGAAGAGAACCAUUUUCCUGCUCGUUGAACAAGGCGGGCCAAUAGGCAAGGUUCUCGUCCAUCGGUGGCUACCGAAAUGUCAUCAACAAUAGUAACAGGGUCUUGCUGACAGAAUUGUACACCGAGGUAUAUACAUAAGUAGGAGAAUAUUACUGCUUAGAUCAUAUAGAUCACAAGAAAGGAUAAACCAAACAAUGGAAUGGAAAAUGUGUUUAAACACAUAUAUCAGGGGUAUACCCUUCCCAAGGACAAGCAGAGCAUGAUAUCCUUGGCGGGAUAUAAUGUAGAAAACUCUUUAGGUAGGGGAGAGAAAUUUCAUGACAUUACCCAUACAACGGUGUUUGGAUAAUUGAGCAAGAAACAUUUAGCAUUGGGCUUCAAAGGUUCUUAAGGAUGUUCCAAGUACCAUAGUCAUGCUUCGGGAUAGCCUGGACAUGGUUGUCAAGUAAAGGUAAGACUUUGGAUACACAAAGGAUCCAUCAGGAACAACUCAUAGAAUAAGUCUUACAAUUUCCUCAUGGAAGAAUGGCUAACCUUGCUAAAAGGAAACUAUAACAAUAGGUCCUCCGGCCAGGGGUGCUAGGCAUGAUAUCACCUUACCGGGUCAUAUAAGGACCAAUGUUAUAACUCUUGAAAAUAUGUUCCACCCAUCAUAUCUGACCGAGAUUCAGAUAUGACUAUUAUUAGGAUACCUCAGACUUAGGAUGCCUGAGAAAAGAGGUGCAACGCAAUUUAGACGAGAUGACAUUGCAGAUUCUCGAGAAAUGAACUAUGGAAGCGAGUUCCGAAAUAAGAGUUCAUCAAUAAACCAAGGAGAGAGUGAGGAGUUAGCUGAUAGACUCAGCGACAAUUCAUCAAGAAUUCCAACAAGAUGGAUUUCCACAACUAUGUGAACAAGGAGAUAACAUUAGCCAGAUCAAAUGACUUAAUGAUGUAUGCUGGAGGAAAACAUACACAAUUAAACAUUGACUGGAAGGUGCACCCGAAAUAUGGGCUGGGUUGCACGGCCAACAUUGGAAUGGUGAUUCAAUAAUCAAUAGUCUAAGAAUGAACGGUCGACCAUUAACUUCAAAGUAAUAGGGUUGCUAGAAGGGCGGAAUCCAAACAGCACCGCUCACUUGUUGGUACCCUGGUUGGAAUCAACACGAGGACCCAAGAAAGAAUGGUGAUGGUGAGAAGUAUCACCAUACCAAGAAUUCUUAAGAGGUGGUGAAAUUCCCACGACAUUCUUGACAUAAAAGGUGGUAAUAUUCCAAGGUAAAGAAGAACAAUGCUGGGUAGCAAGGAACUCAAGGUAUAACACAAAACACGAACAAGUUUGUGUUGGAGGGAAGGCAGUAAAGUGGUUGAUGAUAACACAAAUCAUCGAGGCAAGGAUGGUAUUUAUCAUCAUGAAUCCGAUUGAUAUCCUGGAAGAGCUCAUCAGGUUGAUGAUGAUCACGACACAUUUGUUGAGAGGUUACACGAAGAUGUAAUUGAUCAACGAUGACAUCAAGUCAAAUGAAUGAUGAAGCAAAAGGUUAUUGGAACCACGGUUAGGACACAAACUCCAAAGCAAGCUUGUUGUCCAAAGCGAAAUGAUAUGAUGAGGAAAGAUCGACGUAAGCAUAGCUCAUCGUCAAAAAUUAUGCUCUGGGAAGAGGACCAGGUAGCACAGUUAAAAUCGGCACGACAAGGAUAUAGCCAAGCAGGCUAGGAAUGACGUGAUUGAGUUCAAACUCGUAAGUAAUGAAGGUCACCAAGAGUUUCUUAAUCGCGAUGUGGACUCGGGUCAGUUAUCGGUGUCUUUGAGUGUUAAAUAACUCAGAGCCCGUGAAAAAUUGGAAUCAAUGAGAAUGUAGCACUUGAUGAACAACUCAUAAGAAGUUAUGCAGUUCCGUGAUAAUCUUGAGAUACCAGGGGGUAAUACUCGAGGAAAAAUCAAAGUAGAGGUUGGACUGGGGUAUUACUCUACAGAAGACAAGUGCUUAAACUUGCACGAGAAAUGGUAUUUAAAGGAGAACAUGGUCAAAAACCUCGAUCAUAAAUGAUCGAACCACGGAUACAGGAUGAACUUAUAACAAGGGGGUAACUAUUUUUACGAGCAGCUUCCAUGAUAAGUUAUACAUCGUGUCCAUGGGCAUGAACGCAAGGUUCAAGGUCGACUCCCACUUCUUUAAUGUAUAACCUCCCAUUCACUUCUCGCUUUGAUAAAGGCAUUAGUGUUGAAAGUUUUACCUGGUGUAAUACCAGAUGAGUAUGACUCGUGAAAACUUUUGAGUUCACACAUAUUAAGGAAGGCAUAGAUUCAACCCGUCAGGGUAUCGUGGAAACAUAUACCACAAGCUUCAAUAGUAAAUAACACAAGCUCGAUAGUAGAGCAUGGUUGACAAAAAUAGAGGAUACAAUUUACCUAAGGCAUUAUGUAUUAGGGAAAGAACUUCUCGAGGUUUUUGUAUACGAAGGACACUGUCGGAUGAUAUUUCAACAAAGGAUCCGACGGUCCUUAGUGAAACUGAUGUGAGUAUCGGCACACAACCAGAGGAAGAAACAAUGCGAAGGCAUUGGAUUAUAGAAGCAACUGACUAAUUCAAAGCUCACAUAUAAAGGAAUUAUGAUUACCAAAUCAAAGAAUUAGAAGCAAACGCUCUGAUUAAGGAUGGAUGAGUUGAGUAAGCUUAGGGGUAAAGUCGACAACAAUUUGAUAGGUCGAGAUCAAACUCAUAUUUAAAGUGACGUCUGAGUCGGAAAGAUAAUUUAAAAGGAUUAAUUGAUGAUUGCGUGCAUUCGCACUCAUGUUGAAUCACUAGGAUCAAAAUGACGGUGCCUAAGGAUACUAACGAAUAUUGCCAGACAUAUGGAAAGCAUCCACAAUGCAAGCAGACAAGUAUUGCAGAGCAAUAAGCUACUAAGGAUUUUUGGAGGAUCGAAUAGUAUUUCAAAGACCAUUGUGGAACACAUGAACAACGGUGAAAGAACGGAUACUCGGUAAGUGUGAGGAAUUAUCCAUAGGGGGUAUUCAUGUGGCAAAGAUCUGCAAUGCAAUGGCUCAAAAGAUUCUUAAAAGUUGAAGAACAAUUCGAUGCAUCUUGUAAUAACAAGAGCAUCUAGGGAUGAAUGUAAGAAUGGCAAGGGUAAUAAGUUAUCCAUAAGGAUUUAUUGGUGGUAGGGAAUUGCCAAAGAAGUGGGCACAAAGUCUCGAGAGAACUUCAGCGAGUAUCUUCGGAAUCUUCUGGUGUAGCAAACGAUCAUCGGGAGUGAGGGGCUCUCCGGGAGAUAGUAUUUUCGAGAACCUAAAGUUAGUUUUGUUUUUAGCAAAAUCAUUUAACCCGAAUAGAAGAGAGAUAAGAGUCCGAGAGUAAAGGUCGAGGAAUAAAAGAUCCUAAUACCACCAAAUGGUGACGUGGGCCCAUAAGGCACACAGCCAUGUUAGUAAAAGUUUUCGCAAUGUCUAGACUCGACUUUGGCCAAGGAGUUGGAAAGGGGGAUUCCUACAGGCAGUCGGCUCUGAUACCAACUUGUGACGCCCCCGAUUCAAUCGUACACUAAUCAUGCACGCAAAUGUGUACGAUCAAGAUCAGGGACUCACGGGAAGAUAUCACAACACAACUCUAAAACAUAAAUAAGUCAUACAAGCAUCAUAAUACAAGCCAGGGGCCUCGAGGGCUCGAAUACAAGUGCUCGAUCAUAGACGAGUCAUCGGAAGCAACAAUAUUUGAGUACAGACAUAAGUUAAACAAGUUUGCCAUAAGAUGGCUAGCACAAACUGGGAUACAAUCGAAAGAGGCGCAGGCCUCCUGCCUGGGAUCCUCCUAACUACUCUUGGUCGUCAUCAGCGGGCUGCACGUAGUAGUAGGCACCUCCAGGUAGUAGGAGUCAUCGUCGAAGGUGGCGUCUGGCUCCUGGACUCCAGCAUCUGGUUGCGACAACCAGAGAGAAAGGAAAGGGGGGAAAAGGGGGGGAGAAAGCAACCGUGAGUACUCAUCCAAAGUACUCGCAAGCAAGGAACUACACUACAUAUGCAUGGGUAUAUGUGUAAGGAGGCCAUAUCAGUGGACUGAACUGCAGAAUGCCAGAAUAAGAGGGGGAUAGCUAGUCCUAUCGAAGACUACGCUUCUGGCAGCCUCCGUCUUGCAGCAUGUAGAAGAGAGUAGAUUGAAGUCCUCCAAGUAGCAUCUCCAAGUAGCAUCUCCAGUAGCAUCGCAUAGAAUAAUCCUACCCGGCGAUCCUCCCCUUGUCGCCAUGUGGAAAAGCGAUCACCGGGUUGUCUGUGGAACUUGGAAGGGUGUGUUUUAUUAAGUAUCCGGUUCUAGUUGUCAUAAGGUCAAGGUACAACUCCAAGUCGUCCUGUUACCGAAGAUCACGGCUAUUCGAAUAGAUUAACUUCCCUGCAGGGGUGCACCACAUAACCCAAUACGCUCGAUCCCAUUUGGCCGGACACACUUUCCUGGGUCAUGCCCGGCCUCGGAAGAUCAACAUGUCGCAGCCCCACCUAGGCACAACUGAGAGGUCAGCACGUCGGUCUAAAUCCUAUGCGCGCAGGGGUCUGGGCCCAUCGCCCAUUGCACACCUGCACGUUGUGAGGGCGGCCGAAAGCAGACCUAGCCUCUCUUAUACAAGAGUAGGCAUUCCAGUCCAAUCCGGCGCGCGCCGCUUCGUCGCUGAUGUCAAGAAGGCUUCGGCUGACACCACGACGUCGAGUGCCCAUAACUGUUCCCGCGUAGUUGGUUAGUGCGUAUAGGCCAGUGGCCAGACUCAGAUAAAAUACCAAGAUCUCGUUAAGCGUGUUAUUAUGAAGCAACCGUGAUUGCCGACCAGGGCCAGGCCCACCUCUCGCCUAGGUGGUCUCAACCUGCCCCGUCGCUCCGCCACAUAGCAACAGUCGGGGGCCGCCGGGAACCCAGGCCCACCUCUACCGGGAUGGAGCCACCUGUCCUUUCAGCCCCCUUAUCCGAAUCACUUGCGGGUACUCAACGAGCUGACCCGACUUUAGUCACCAUCUGUAGUAUGUAUAUAUGUAUAGUAUAUACCCGUGAUCACCUCCCGAGUGAUCACGGCCCAAUAGUAUAGCAAGGCAGACUGACAAGAAUGUAGGGCCAAUGAUGAUAAACUAGCAUCCUAUACUAAGUAUUUAGGAUUGCAGGUAGGGUAUCAACAGAUGUAGCAACAAUGUCAGGCUGUGCAUCAGAAUAGGAUUAACGGAAAGCAGUAACAUGCUACACUACUCUAAUGCAAGCAGUAUAGGGGAGAAUAGGCGAUAUCUGGUGAUCAAGGGGGGGCUUGCCUGGUUGCUCUGGCAAGAGAGUGGGGUCGUCAACACCGUAGUCGUACUGGGUAGCAGCGGCGUCGGUCUCGGUGUCUAGCGAGAGAAAAGGGGGAAGAAACAAUAAAUACUUAAGCAAACAGAUGCAUAGAGAUGCAUGACAUGACAAGUAACGGUGCUAGGGGUGCCCUAACACGGUAUGAGGUGAUAACGGUGAAGGGGGGGGGGAACAACCGGGAAAGUAUCCCCGGUGUUCCGCGUUUUCGGGCAGAGGAGCCGGAGGGGGAAAGUUGCGAGUUUGAUAUGUUAGGGGUAUGUGGCGGACGAACAGGUUACGUAUCCGGAUUCGCCUUGCCGUUCUGAGCAACUUUCAUGUACACAGUUUUUUCAUCCGAGUUACGGAUUAAAAGAUAUGAUUUUCUAAAGAUUUAAAUCAUUUUCUGAUUUUAAUUAGUUAUUUAAUUCUAACAUUAUCCAAAACAGUGACUGAUGACGUAGGCAUGACAUCAAAGUGAUGUCAGCAGGUCAACUGGUCGGUUGACCAGUCAAACCAGACAGGUGGGUCCAGUGGGACCCACAUGUCAUUGUCAGGGUCACUAACAGGGGGUUUAGUCUAACUAAAUGGGUUAAUUAGUGGGUGGGCCCCAACAGUCAGUGUCUAACUAGGUUUUAGUUAAUUAACUUAAUUAAUUAGCAGUUUAUAUAUUUGUUUUUAUUUGUUUUAUGGCAUGGGGCCCGCAUGUCAGUGGCAGUAGCUGCCACGUCAACACGUUGACUGGGUCAACCCAGUCAACGGGGCCCUCGGGACCCGCUGGUCAACGACACAGAGGCAGGGGCCACUGCGCCACGUCGGCGUCGGCGCCGGAGCGACUUCGGCGACCCAAACAGAGGCGGCCCCCCUCGUCGGGGUUGGCCGGAAUCGCGCUACGGGGCUCGGGGAGGAGCGGGGCUAUGCCCAUGCCAAGGCCCGCGCCGCGGCGCAUUCAAUGGAGGUGGUGGCUUGGUCGGAGGAGGGCCGCAGCGUCGCCGGCGGUGAGCGGGGCGAACGCCGGCGUUCGGCCGCGAGAGGGAAACGGCGCUGCGGCACGGCAGCAAGUACCCUAAACGGCCAGGAGGCUUCUACGGACGCGUGCAAGUACAACGGCCACAAGCCCGGGACCAAAUGGUCACCGGAUGGCUACCGGCGACGAGCGCGUGCGGCGAUGCGCUCGGGCAAGUUGGGGGCGGCGCGUCCAACUAGCGAACGGCGACGAGAGAGAGAGGGAAGGGAGCGGGGGCUCACCGAGCGGCAACACGGUGGCCCUUGGCGGCUUAGUAGCUGCAGAGGGCGUCGCCGGAGUUGGGGAGGAGCGGCGGCGAGGCGGAGGAAGACGACGACCUCGUCCACGACGCUGCGACGUCGCGGAGCUCGAAUCGUCGGUCGGGGAUGACGAGGGGGGCGACGAGGGAGACCGGCGACACGUUGGCGCGGUGCGGGGAGGACGACGGCUGUGGUUAGCACGGCGGCGCAGCCAUGGGCGCGCUCGGGCGCCGCAGAUCUGGAAGGGGGGAAGAGAGUGAGUGGGAGAGCGAGGGGCAAGUGGGGAGGGGAGCCCGAGGGGGCGCAGCGUCGGCGCCCUUAUCCUCUCCGGGGCCUGUAGCGGCGCGGGGCGGCGAGCUGGUCCGUCGGCGACAGCGGGCGUGGUCGGACGAACAGUGGGGGGCGUGGGGAGAAGGUGACAACGGUGGGGAGGUGGCAGCUGGGCCACCUGGGUCGGCCGGGUGCGAUGGAAUGGGCCGAAGCCCAGGGGAAGCCGGGGGUCUUUCUCUUUUUUUUCUGCUUGCUUUUCCCUUUUGUAUUUUCUUUCUUUUAUUUAUUUUCUUUCUGUUUUAUUUCAUUUUAGGGCAUUUAGGUAUUUUGUAAUAUUGUGCCCACUACACCAUAAUUACUUAUGCAAUAUUUGGCAACCCCCGAACAUUUUUGUUUUGACCUUUGAAAACUUUUGUCAUUUGACUUGUUUAGAAUUUUAAAUUUGAAACGGUUCGAACUAACGCGAAACUAACAACAGUAAUCAUGGUGACGUGGCAUCCUUAGUAGAUGGUUACUGUAGCUUAAUUAUCCGGGCGUCACAACCUACUAUCACAUCUCUACCUCUCUCUUGGUAGCUCUUACUUCAUGAUAUAUUGCUUGCUUUCUUGCUUACAGACAUGGGAGGGGUGGCACCCCCAUUUAUUGGAUUACAACACCGUUGGAUGUUUGCCAAGUGGCAUCCAUCCAAGCCCUACACCACAAUUCUAGGGAACUCCAUACAAAUAUCUUAUUUCUAGAUUUCUCUACUAUUUGCCAUGAACCAUGCCCAAUAUUUAUUCUAGAUUGUUCAUGGCAAGUAUCUAGUUUCUAGAUAUUUCCUACUACACUAAAAUAUCUUACUCUAGAAUUUCCAUAAUUCUAGAGUUUUCUCUAAAUAUCUCCAUCAUGGUUAUUCAUGUACCUUGUCAAACCUUCUUCAAAAUAUUUCUCCUUUCUCAUGAAAUACUCCAUAAUAUUGUAGAAGCUUCUUGAAGUGUUCGUUAUAUUUCUAGAGCUUUCCAAGCAUGCAUUGCAUUUCUCAACACUUCCCUCAAUGAAUACUUGUCUGGUGGAUCAUCUCCUUGUUAAUGUCCAUGGAUCUUAUGGGCUCUGCCAUUUCGUAGUUUGUUACUUUCUAGAUGCCAUGGAUAGGACUCUCCUUUCAACUAGUUUGCACCAUUGUUUUCUGUCAUGCAACUUCCUGUCAACUUACUUUUCUUCUUCGCCUUUGUCCACACUUGCUUAUUUGUUGACUCAUUUUCAUAUGGUAAAAUAACUUGAGCAAGUGCAACAUUAGUGUACCUGAUAUUCGGUGGCCUUGAUCUCCAAAAUUCCUCCUUAUGCUCUAUAUAAUCCAUGUUGAUCAUAUCAAGCUCCUUGAGUGUAUGAGGAAUUGAGGAUCCAUACCUUGUAGGUUCUCCUCCUCCUCCUCCUCGACGUGCACCGGUGUAUCUCUUUGAUCAAUCAAUGCUCCAUUUGUAGGUCUGUUGUGCUUUAGCUCUUGUGACUUGUUACCAUUAGAGGGUACAUGCUCUGUCUCAUUUAACUUAGUAUCCUCUUUCCCACUGGCGAGAACUUCUGGGUAUUCUUCACUAUCAUGACCAAAGACCAGAGAUUCACUAAUGAGUUCUUGAUUGUUCACCUCUAUGGAGAAGCGACCUUAUGCAUCCCACCCUUCUUAUUUUCCUUUGGUUUAUUCAUAGGUCACGUCACCAGUUGAUGGAUGCCCACACGAUGUGAGGUAUUCCAUGAAGUAAACUUCUUCAUCCUCGAUGCAAAUUGCUUCCUCGGCAUCCUACUCUUCCUCACAUGGACAUUCCUCCACGACGUCAUUCAUGGUAGUAGCCACAUUUUCUUCCGAGCUUCUUUGGACGCCAACAAUCCCUAGCAAGAUGGCCUUUCUUUCCUCAUCUUCUUUCUUUUAUUAAAGUCAUGUUCAUCUUCUUCUUUGAGCCCCCCCCCCCUGAGUAGUUGCUCUCCUUUGGGCACCACCUUUAACUUAUUUUCCACUUCUCCUUCACAUCUUCUCGACCUCUUAGUGGACUCUUCUUUCUUUUGACAAAGAGCUCCUCCUCUUCAUCUGCCUCUUUCAAGAUGAUCCCGCCCAUCUCCUUAGCUAACGCCUCCUGAUUAGCCAACAAAUUCUCCAACUCAACCAAAGAUGGUUGUGUAGUCCAUCCUCUCAUUGCGGCCAUAAACCCAUGUACUCUGGUAGUAGGUCAUGGAUAAUGAUCCUUCUCAUCCUUGCCUCACUUAUCUUCUCUUCAGGAUCAAGCUGGGAUAUCUCAUGACAAAUAUUCUUUACUUUUGUGAAGUACUGGCUAAUGCUUAGAGUGCCUUGUGAGAUACCAAUGAGCUCAUUUUCUAAGAGCUGUAGUCGCACCUCAUUCUUUCUUGAGAACAACUUUGCCAAAGUAUCCCAAGCCACCUUUGGUGUCUCCGCAUCUCGAAUAUGCUCCACUAGGUCCUCAAUGGUGGUCUUUAAUCCGAACAUAGUAUUUCCUUCUUCGAUGCGCCACUUCCACAAGGCUUCUGCACUCUCUAGAGGAGUAGUUUCGGUGCCUGCAAUGACCUCCCAUAGGUCAUGGCCCUGUAGAUACAACUCCAUGCGGGUCUGUCUAGCCAUAGUUGUGGCUAUUGAGUCUCUUCAAGCAACUUCUGUGCUCAUGAGAUCUGCCAACUCAACUGACGCCUUGUGCCCUUCGCUUAGUCCUAGACUAGCAAUCUUCACAGUCCCAUACUAUGCUCUGACAGAGUCUCCCAUCAGCGCCUCUUAGUGACUCCAAUCAAUGUAAGCACCCGCUCCUUACCGGAGACUUCACCGACCAAUGUAAGUGCCCAACACUCCCUCUUACUCUUCUCUUUGAUCCAUGACCGCCUGCUCGAUACCAAUUGUUAAAAUCUGAGGGCUACCUCAGCUCUGAGAUGAACUGUAAGAACCCGGCGUGUGGUGGCUCUAGUACCCGCACUCUCGAGGACCUUCACAGAUUUGGGAUAUCACACUCUUGUGAUAAGGUAACUCAACCCUUUAUUAUUCAUAAUCAUAACUAUAAACCUUGUACAACUCUUUAGUUGUGGCUACCUCUACCUACUAUGAAAUCUUUACCUCUCGCACUUGGUAGCUCUUACUUCAUAGCUUGCUUGCUUUCUUGCUUACACACAUGGGAGGGGUGACACCCCUAUUUAUAGGAUUACAACACUGUUAGAUGUUUGCCAAGUGGCAUCCAUCCAAGCCCUACAACACAAUUCUAGAGAACUCCAUACAAAUAUCUUAUUUCUAGAUUUCUCUGUUGUUUGCCAUGAAGCAUGUCCAAUGUUUAUUCUAGAGUGUUCAUGUCAAGAAUCUAGUUUCUAGAUAUUUCACACUACAUGGUUUUUCAUGUAGCUUCUAGAACCUUCUUCAGGAUAUUUAUCCUUUCUCAUGAAAUACUCCAUGAUAUUCUAGAAGUUUCUUGAAGUGUUCUUCAUAUCUCUAGAGCUUUCCAAUUAUGCAUUGCAUUUCUCAACAGAAAAACAUGGGUGAAGGAAGAUCUGAAAUUGCUUCCAUCCUGACGGAAAUUGAAGCUAUCUCUGGUGGUUUUCAGAGUUUUGAUUUGGUUCAUGUAUGGCGCGAAGCCAAUCAAUUGGCACGUCUUUAUGCCGGCCAAGCUAGUCUUACUAAGAGAAGAUUCAUGUGGAUUAACUUUAUUCCUAGCUUCCUUACUUUGUGUUUGGAGAACGAUUGUAAACAUUCUGUGUCGUGUGCAAUCUAAGGCACACCUAAAUCCUGCUCUGUACUUCUGCCAGAUUUUCAUGUGACACUACGAUCCAGUGUCCAUCAUCCAAUAAUUUAUGGCCCGUACCGUCAAGUCAGAUACUUCAUCCGACGCUCCCGAUGAAACUUUUUACAUACUACAUAAUUAGAAGCGUCGCAUCCCUUUCCUUGAAGGAGGUGGUGUCAUUGUCAAUUUUGUCAUUACCAAAUUUUCCCCUCAGUACAAAGCAUACAGUGCCACUGCCUGCCGUUAGCAGUGGCGCCAUAAAGACGUGGCACAUGAAUCGCUCCCAUGAACCCGAGCAACCGUCCACUGAGACGAAUCAAUGCGCUAACCUACUGCCCGUUGCCGCUGGCCGGUAGUAGAUCCGCCGCGUUAAUGUCUUCCUUUGAGGAACAGAGAGACGCCUUGCAGCUGGGGCAGAGGAAGAAGACACGGGUGUCAAGGGGCCCCUCCUUAAAUAUCUCCGAGAAAUGGAAGAAUGUGGUGUGUGACAAGCAAACCUACUCCAACAGCUCUCCUCGCAGGGUCACCGCGCAGCCAAAUGAAUUCGCUUCAAUGCGGGCAGAAGCAGCCACCGCAUUUUAUUACCGCUCUUCAGUCUCACUGUUCAACGGUUCAACCCCACAGCUCACCACCCCGAACACGAAAGCUGGGCUGCUGGAGCGUUCAUAAGCAGCAAGCAGAGCUCGCCAUACUCGCUCUCCUCUCACCCUCGGCCUCGCCUCUUCGCCAUGGAUCCUCGCGGCGCGAGAUGGACGGCUCCGUCGCUGUGCCUGGUGCUCGUGCUUCUACUCCAAGCGAGCAUUUCUGCGUGCGCGGGAGGCCCCAAGACUUACAUCGUCCACAUGGCCGCGUCGGAGAAGCCGAGCUCGUUCGAUUUUCAUCACGAGUGGUACGCCUCCACGGUCAAGUCCGUGAGCUCUGCGCAGAUCGAAGCUGAGGAGGAGGAGGAUGCUUACGCGAGGAUCGUCUACAACUACGAGACGGCCUUCCAUGGCUUCGCGGCUCGCCUCGACGAGGACGAGGCCGAGCGGAUGGCCGAGGCGGCCGGCGUGCUGGCCGUGCUCCCGGAGACGGUCCUGCAGCUGCACACCACCAGGAGCCCCGACUUCUUGGGCAUUGGCCCGGAGGUCAGCAACAGAAUCUGGGCCUCCGGCCUCGCCGACCACGACGUCGUCGUCGGCGUGCUCGACACCGGCAUAUGGCCCGAGAGCCCCAGCUUCAGCGACAAGGGGCUCGGCCCCGUGCCGGCCAAGUGGAAAGGCCUGUGCCAGACCGGCCGCGGCUUCACCACGGCCGACUGCAACCGCAAGAUCAUCGGCGCGCGCAUCUUCUACAACGGCUACGAGGCCUCCUCGGGCCCCAUCAACGAGACCACCGAGCUCAAGUCCCCGCGCGACCAGGACGGCCACGGCACGCACACCGCCGCCACCGCCGCGGGCUCGCCCGUGCCUGACGCCGGCCUCUUCGGCUACGCGCGCGGCGUCGCCCGUGGCAUGGCGCCCCGCGCACGCGUCGCGGCGUACAAGGUGUGCUGGACCGGCGGCUGCUUCAGCUCCGACAUCCUCGCGGCCGUCGACCGCGCCGUGUCGGACGGCGUCGAUGUGCUCUCCAUCUCCCUCGGCGGCGGGGCCUCCCCCUACUACCGCGACAGCCUGUCAAUUGCGUCGUUUGGGGCCAUGCAGAUGGGCGUGUUCAUCGCCUGCUCGGCCGGCAACGCCGGCCCGGACCCGAUAAGCCUGACGAACCUGUCGCCGUGGAUCACCACGGUGGGCGCGAGCACCAUGGACCGUGACUUCCCGGCAACAGUGACGUUCGGCAACGGCGCCAACAUCACAGGCGUCUCGCUUUACAAGGGCAGGCAGAACCUUUCGCCUCGGCAGCAGUACCCGGUGGUCUACAUGGGCGGCAACUCGAGCAUCCCGAACCCCAGGUCCAUGUGCCUCGAGGGGACACUGGAGCCCAACGCCGUGGCCGGAAAGAUCGUGAUAUGCGACCGCGGCAUCAGUCCUCGGGUGCAGAAGGGCCAGGUUGUCAAGGAAGCGGGUGGCAUCGGCAUGAUCCUCGCCAACACUGCAGCCAACGGCGAGGAGCUCGUCGCCGACAGCCACCUCCUGCCAGCCGUGGCCGUUGGGGAAUCUGAAGGCGUGGCGGCAAAGAAGUACACCAUGACGGCCCCAAAGCCGACGGCGACACUCAGCUUCGCCGGAACCAAGCUCGGGAUCCGGCCGUCGCCGGUGGUCGCCGCGUUCUCCUCCCGGGGGCCAAACUACCUGACUCUGGAGAUCCUCAAGCCGGACCUCAUCGCGCCCGGCGUGAACAUCCUGGCUGCAUGGAGCGGCGACGCCAGCCCGUCGAGCCUGGCCAGCGACCGCCGCCGGGUCGGGUUCAACAUCCUCUCAGGGACGUCCAUGUCCUGCCCGCACGUCGCCGGCGUGGCCGCGCUGCUCAAGGCAAGCCACCCGGACUGGAGCCCAGCGCAGAUCAAGUCGGCGCUGAUGACCACCGCGUACGUCCACGACAACACCUACCACGUGCUCAAGGACGCGGCGACUGGCGAUGCGUCCACGCCGUUCGAGCACGGGGCCGGCCACAUACACCCGGUGCGAGCGCUCAACCCAGGCCUGGUCUACGACAUUGGCCAGAACGAGUACCUGGAGUUCCUCUGCACGCAGAACCUGACGCCGACGCAGCUCAAGGGCUUCACCAAGAACUCCAACAUGACAUGCAAGGGCAGCUUCAGUUCGCCCGGCGACCUCAACUACCCGGCCAUCUCCGCCGUCUUCACCGAUCAGCCGUCCACCCCGCUGGCAGUGCACCGCACCGUGACAAACGUCGGUCCUCCGUCAUCGACGUACCAUGUCAAGGUCACAAAGUUCAAAGGCGCGGACGUCAUCGUCGAGCCGAGCACCCUGCACUUCAGCAGCGCAAACCAGAAGCUCGCAUACAAGGUUACAGUGAGGACCAAGGCCGCUCAGAAGACACCCGAGUACGGUGCCCUGUCAUGGAGCGACGGCGUUCACGUAGUCCGGAGCCCCCUGGUCCUCACAUGGCUGCCGCCAAUGUGAGCUUUUCCCCUAGUACUGUAUCGUUGUUCCGCAUUAGUCAGAGGGUCUGGGAGCAGAAGCAGCUGUGCCCUGGCCCCUUGGUAAGCGAGGUUGAUGAAUCAGUUGCGUAGCAGCAGCCAGCAGCACAGGAGCAGCACUUGCCGGAAGAAAGAUGUUGUGAAGCUCCAACUCAAAACAAGCUUUUAUUCCACAAAUGUAUUCACGCUUAUUCCAAAUGUUCAGUAAAUGGUUGAUUGUUUUUACAUAAUUUGUGUGUGUACAACAUAUUGGGGGUGACCCAGCGGUGCGGAAAACUCCAUCGCGGCGAAUU
Molecule: long non-coding RNA, 88835 nt
Filed under: Triticum aestivum (bread wheat)
Lineage: Eukaryota; Viridiplantae; Streptophyta; Magnoliopsida; Poales; Poaceae
Description: long non-coding RNA (TAES_LNC022901)
Source: RNAcentral